GGGCUGCGGCAUCUCGGACAUGGAGAGCUUUCUCUCCAUGGAGGGACGCGACCGACGCCGACAACACCGAACUCCGAAGCAGCUGCUCAGAACUGCGCCGCGCUCCCGGCAGCAACGCCCGACUUGUCCCACCUGCGGCCAGAGCAGGUCCUCCAUCCUCCACCGCCGCUUCGCCCAACCUGACGCCACGAAGCAGCGGCCGCCUCGGGUUGAGGCGGGGCCCUAACCGAAGCCGGAGCCACCCAGGCAAACCCUCGCCAUUGCCGACCCCACGCGCGCCCGAAUCCCAGACGCUCCAACGGACCUUCAGUCCGGACCCGCCCGCCGAUCCAAACCUUCUUCUUCUUCCCCGGCGAACAGCGCCGACCCAGGAAGACGGCCCCUCAAUGCUCCGGAGCGGAUUCCACCGAGCACGGAGAAACCGAGGAAGGCAGCCGGCCCGAGCCCAUCAGCUGAGGAAGCAGAAGUAGCGCGGCUCGCGGAGGCACAACUCGCCGCUCACCGAGAACCGCGACCACUCGCCCCCUCGAGUCGCCAUUGCUCGCCCGGGACCAGACCACGGCAGGCCAGACCAGACCAGACCAGACCGGACCGGACCCCACCACCCGGCGGCCGAAUCGGACGCCGCGGCCACGGGGCGGGAGCUGGGCUCGCGGCGGAGGGCGCGUCGGCGCGGGCGGAAACCCUAGCGGCGCGGGGAGGGGUGGGGCUAGGCGGCCAUGGCUGGAUCGAGGGAGGGAGCGGAAGCCGAGAAGUGGUGGGAAUUUCUUUUUAUUUUUUUCCCGUCCGGGUUUAGUGUGUGUGAAGCGGACUAGCGGAGGAGGGAGGGAGGAGGCUCUCGCGGUCGCAGGGGGCGUGUAAAAAAGGUCGGUUGAAUUUCUUUUUUCUGCUUUGCCCCCUUACAAGAUCUUGAAUUGCGUUUUUUUGUUGCUCUGGGGAUUUUAGCUGGCUUUUCUUCACGUACGGAAAUGUUGAUUGGGCGUGUAAAGGAACAUUUAACUUCAGGUUUUGUACUUCCCGUAAAGAAAUAUAAGAGGGUUUAGACCACUCACUUGUACUCCUUUCAUUUUUAAAUAUAAGUUUUUAUAAAGAUUUGAUUAAAAAACUAUAUACGGAUGUUACUUUAGAAUAUAGAUUCAUUCAUUUUGCUUUGUAUGUAAACUAAUAUAAGAGUGUUUAGAUCACUACUUUAGUGAUCUAUAAACGUUUUUAUAUUAGUUUACGGAGGGAGUAGUCUUGUAGUAAAAAAUUUAAAGAAAACUAUAUUUAAAAAUCGGAGGGAGUAUUUUUUUUAUAGAAGGAUUAUUUAGCAUUUCUUUUCUAGUUUGACCCUUGCCAAGAGUUUUGAUUGUAUGCAAGAGAAACAUUCAAACUUAGAUUUUUCAGAUCCAGUAUAUUUAUGGUGCAUGGAUAAAUGAGUACAGGUACUUUUUACAAGAACCAAGCUGGUAUCAAACAUCAUCAUAAUAAAUGUUUUGGCUGGGUUUCUGUCAGAAAAGCAAAUGUGUCUACAUAAGACAAGACGUGGUGUGACUUCAACUCUCCGCUUCACCUUUGUAGAAGUGACGAUUCAAGAUGCAUUGAACUAGGUUUGUCUAUUUCUCACGAGUCACGGCCACAUGUCGUUAGCUUAACUAACCUAGUGUUACACUUGGCACAUAGUCAAAACGCAUAUUAACUUCGCCUUAUCUUAUCGGGGUCGAAAGAGUUGCAAAGUAAGGUUUGUACCAAUGCAUCGUUUCCUAUAACAUUCAUAAUUUAAAAAACUAUUAGCCCAGUGCAUUGCUUAUUAGAGGUUGUCUCCUGAUUUAAUGAUUUGGUACUCAUGCAUAGAUGUGAUUGGGCUAUUAACCAUUUUUACAUAUGAUGACGGACAAAUGUUGUAUCUUAGAUAAGAUACAACCCUACUCUCUCCCUCAUCAUUAACUAAUGUAACACAUCAGCAAAACGCCUAUAAAUCCACGCUAAGAAACUUUCAUUGGCACAGGCCUAAGGAUGACAAAAGACACAUAGCAAGCAUUGAUGAUCCCUGGCGUACACUAGUAGAAAAAGGGCCUUUGGCCUGGACCCUUUAGUCCCGGCCUGCCUCUGGGCCGGGACUAAAGGCCCGGCCACGUCGUCCCAAAUCGCACGAGGCUUUGGUCCCGGCCUGUAAGGAACCUUUAUUCCCGGUUUGUGUCUCGAACACGGACUAAAGGGUUUGGAGGAUUUAGUCCCGGUUCGUGUCUUGGACCUUUAGUCCCGGUUCGUGUCUCGAACUGGGACUAAAGGGUUUGGAGGAUUUAGUCCCGGUUGGUGUCUUGAACCGGGACUAAAGGGUAGACCUUUAGUCCCGGUUCGUGUCACGAACCGGGACUAAAGGUGUUCAGCUUUUUUUUCUGUUUUCAAAUUCUUGUUUGUGGUAUCUGUUUUAAAUUGCUUGUAUCUUUUAGGAUAUUUGAUGUUUUUGAUUGAUUUUUUUUGCAUUAGAUUCAAAAGAUUGUCUAGUUUCUGUUUGUGCCAUUAUUUUUCAAAUUUGAAUGGUUUAAAUUUGCUUCAAACCCAGUUUUUGAAUAACUUGAGUUUACAAAUAGUUUGUAAUUUAAUUCUUUUUCCUCCCACUCAUGUGUUAGAUUGUUGUCACAGUAAGAUUUAUUUGGUUAUUUUUAGAAUAAUUUAAAUUAGGAUUUUAAUUAAAGAAAUAUUUUUUUGCUUAUAUAGUUGUUUUAGUCAUUUAAUUGUUGUUUUUUAUUAUUUUUAGUUAGUUCUUUCUGUAGAUUUUAACAUGUUGUAGUAUGGUGCAUAUUGAAUGCACAAAAAAAUCUACAGUUCAAUUAAUUUUAAAAAAAUGCCUUUGUAGCAGAUGGGUUUUCGUCUGAAACCUUGAUACUUUGAGUUUUGUAGAAAAUAAACAAAAAUGAUAAAAUCUUCAAAAAUUAAACAAAAAUGAUAAAAUCUUCAAAAAAUAAAAUUCUUUCAGAUGUUGUUAGGUUUUAGUGUCUAGUUGGUAUAGAAAUUUUGAUAUAUGAAUUUUGACCGUUUUUGCAAAAAAAAGGRAAAAAAAUAAACGGCCAUAACUUUUGCAUACGACGUCCAAAAAAAUUAAUAUAUUAAAAAAACUAGAAAAAAUUGGUACUCGAUUUCACCCGGGCUUGCCCGGUGAAGUUUUCUCACAUGCUCAAAAUUCCAAAUGGAAAAAAAAUUAUUUCAAAAAGAAGUUUUUUCCAAAAAAAAGGAAAAUAAUUUUAUUUAAAAAUAUUAGGUUGUUUUCAUUGAAAUUCGCUAUUAUUGUUACUUAUUAAGUUUAUUUUAAUAAUUGUUUGUAAUUCAAAAAAUUAAAUCAUGUGACAUGACAUCAAGACCCAAGUUGUUUAGGAUUGAUAGCUUACUAUUGUCAGGAAAACAACAAGUGCACACUUGGCAACUAGGGGCGAUAGAACCGGAAAGUUAAGCGUGCUCGGGCUGAAGUAGUGAAAGGAUGGGUGAUCGGCCGGAAAGUUAGACGAUUUGAAAUGAGUGAUCUACGCUAGAGCAGUGAGGAUGGAUGAUUAGAGAUUGAAUUGUACAAAUAAUUACAAAGAUUAAGAAAAUUAGGAAAAUAAAACAAUAAAAAAAUAUUACAAAAAAUAAAAUUUWAGAAAAAAAAYUUAAAAAAAUUACUAACCUUUUACGGKWACAAAACAAAAAAAAAMACAGAACAAGAAUACCUUUAAGUACUACGGUUACGUAAGUAGAACCGGACUAAAGGUACNNNNNNNNNNNNNNNNNNNNNNNNNNNNNNNNNNNNNNNNNNNNNNNNNNNNNNNNNNNNNNNNNNNNNNNNNNNNNNNNNNNNNNNNNNNNNNNNNNNNAAUUUCCUAAAAUUACAAACUUUACAAACCCUAAAUUAACCUAAUGUUUAGUACGUACUUAAAAAGUUUUUAACCACUACUUCGUCAUUNUCAUGUCCACUGCUCAUGCAUCANCUUGAUUGCAUANGUUUGAUAUUGGUGUUGUCAUCCUUUCGUAGGCUCCGNUCCCCCCGGAUUCCACCGAACUAUCCGUCUGACGAAUAUUGUCACUCCUCUGAGCAACAAGGCAAGCAACCAUUUUGAUCAUCCCGAUAAAUCCCAUGUUCUUGCUCCUGCACUUACUUAUUGCAUUAGGAUCAAAUGCUUCAAAUGCUUUUGCCACGUUAGUUGAACCCACUUCCUUUGCAUGACCUAUCUUUGUCACAGUAAAUAGCUGAACCCUGCAACCUAGCAUACCUGGUAGGUGCUUGAGCCAUGAUGUGCCUUAUCCUGCUAUGCUUAGAGUUGUGUAUGGUCUGUCAUCUGGGACAUGAACAGAAUUGUAAGAAUGUGUUCGGUAAGCAAAGGCCGUGUUUUGAACUUGAUUUCGUAAAGGUACCGGUGAAAGGCUGUGUAGGAGUACAUGGCGGGUUGUUUCAUUGCAACCGUCCUUAGGAACUGAGUUCUGUGUAUGUAAUCCAAGACGAUACUACCACACGUUGGGAUACUUAAUUGACCCUCUCGACUUAUUAAUCGCUUAGUACUCGGUCCAGGAGUUGCAAGUAGUUUCUGGUGUUUAUAGUCAUGCUGGAGGCCGUGCAUAGCGCUGACCUGAGAGGUGGGCUGUGAUGCGGUAGGCAGUGGCACGGUGUACCAAGUGGCACCCGAAUGGUGGGCUUGGGAACCCUGCGCACAUCGUUUGAGGCCGUGGCGGAAACCUCGGCCGGACUUCCGUACGGGUUACUCUCAGAUAGGCGAUAAACCUGGACUAGGUACUAGUGUGGUUAACGGUCGUGGCCGACUCCCUCGCUGGGCUUCCGCUUGAAGGUUGCCGAGGUGCAUGACGUGCACAUGGCGAUAAGUGGCGAGAGCGUGUGUGACGAAGUACACCCCUGCGAGGGUUAUGAUCUAUUCGAAUACGCCGCGUCCGCGGAUANNNNNNNNNNNNNNNNNNNNNNNNNNNNNNNNNNNNNNNNNNNNNNNNNNNNNNNNNNNNNNNNNNNNNNNNNNNNNNNNNNNNNNNNNNNNNNNNNNNNUAGGGGGAMRUACGUCGCSACUCGUUCCACUCACCAACUACUCCGUCUCGUCGGUAGGGGACGGUCGACUACUCCAUCAACAAUACUUCAUCAGCACCAUCUGCUCUCCAAACCCUAGUUCAUCUCUUGUAACCAAUCUCCGUCUCGCGACUCCGAUUGGUACUUGUAAGGUUUCUAGUAGUGGUGAUUACUCUUUGUAGUUGAUGCUAGUUGGAUUACUUGGUGGAAGAGUUUAUGUUCAAAUCCUUGAUGCUAGUCAUUACACCUCUGAUAAUGAUUAUGAUUAUGCUUUGUGAGUAGUUACUUUUGUUCCUCGGGACAUGGGAUAAGUCAUGCUAAUAAUAGUCAUGUGAAUUAGGUAUUCGUUCGGUAUUUUGAUAUGUUGUAUGUUGUUUUUCCUCUAGUGGAGUUAUGUGAACGUCGACUACAUAACACUUCACCAUAUUUGGGCCUAGAGGAAGGCAUUGGGGAGUAGUAAGUAGAUGAUGGGUUGCUAGAGUGACAGAAGCUUAAACCCCAGUCUAUGCGUUGCUUCGUAAGGGACUGAUUUGGAUCCACUAGUUUAAUGCUAUGGUUAGAUGUUGUCUUAAUUCUUCUUUCUUAGUUGCGGAUGCUUGCGAGAGGGGUUAGACAUAAGUGGGAUGCUUGUCCAAGUAAGGGCAGUACCCAAGCACCGGUCCACCCACAUAUCAAACUAUCAAAGUAACGAACGCGAAUCACAUGAACAUGAUGAAACUAGCAUGACAGAAAUUCCCGUGUGUCCUCGAGAGCAUUUUUCUUCUUAUAAGACUUUGUUCUGGCUUGUCCCUUGCUACAAAAGGGAUUGGGCCACUUUGCUGCACCAUUGCUACUAAUUGUUACUUGUUACUUUUCGCUUGCUACGUUUCCCCUCACUACACAAUCACUUGUUAUCGCCACUUUCGGUGCUUGCAGUUAUUACCUUGCUGAAAACCGUUUAUCAAAGCCUUGUUCUCCUCGUUGGGUUCGACACUCUUACUUAUCGAAAGGACUACGAUUGAUCCCCUAUACUUGUGCGUCAUGAGUUAGCCACCUCAAAAAAAUGCUUAGUCGCUUGCAGCAGCCUCAACAGUUAACCAUACCUCACUCAUUAAGCUUUGCUAGUCUUGAUAACUUUGGAAAUGAGAUUGUUGAGUCCCUUUGGCUCACAGAUUACUACAACACCAGUUGCAGGUAUAGGUAAAGAGUUACUUGACGCAAGCGCGUUGAUUGUUCAUUUGGAGUUUCUUCUUCUUCUUCAUCGAUCUAGGAUGGGUUCCAAGUCGACAGCCUGGGAUAGCAAGGAUGGAUGUCGUUCUUUUAUCGUUUGUUUUCGUCCGUAGGCGGACCCUUCUCUUCUUCUUGAUUUUUUUAUAUAUUGUACUGAUGUAGCUUGUGGCGAGUGUAAGCCAACUCCUUAUACUCCUCUUUUCAGUACAUGUACUUGUAACGAUAUCCAUUCUUGCGAAACGACGAGAUGCGUUUCUAUCCCUGUCGAGGCCCUCGUGCCAAAAUAAGGAUAUGAUCGCAUCUUGGGCGAUACAACUUGGUAUCAGAGCAGUACCGACCUAGGAGCCCCCUUGAUUGAUCGAACUUGACCGAGUCGGGUCUAGUGAAAAAUUACUUUGAGUCUAGUUAUAUAUUAGAGAGUAGGAUUCUUUUUUCUCCUCUUCUAUGCUCCCGUGAGGAAUCUUGACGUAGUAAUUUUAAUUCUACUCCUCUUCUUGCUCAAUUGUUUUUAGGAUCAUGCAGAUAUUUUUGGAAUCUAUAUGAUGUCGAUGUGACGGAGUUCUGACUUGGUGCCUCGUGUUGUGUUGAUUUUAUUCCGGGGAGUUGAGCUCCACGGGAUUCUUGAGCACAUCGUUAUCAUUCAGAUUUCUUAGUAUCUCAGGACGAAGUAUGUUCAAAAUUGCUUCAAAACUAGUAGUGGCGAGAUAACCCCGACAUCCCCUGUACUGGUGCAGAGAGUUCCGGGGUACUGCCAUACUUGGUAUCGUUGUGAUUGCGAAGAUCUGAGAUAGAUGAGUUUCCGAGAUGUCUGGUUAUGUGUUGACGGAUGUGAUACACUGGACGGGGUAGUGUUAUUGCUAGGAGUUGAGUGAUGGAUUUUACUCCUUGUAUCCGUGGACCCGAUUGCAUGACCAGAAAUUUCGGAAGUUCUCAGGUGGGAAUUCAAGUAGUCACUUAUAGGAAAAUCUUCCAACAGAUGCAUGAUGUGAUGUUGGGGUUCGACAUCUAGUGGAUUCGUUUGUUCACGCUCGUCUUACAACGGUUCUCGUUGUGUCUUAAAGAGUCCUUGUAGCUUGCUACGACUCGGGGACGCUUCAUAUGUCGUGUGCACUGCCUUGUACAUGAUGGCUACUGUAGGACUGAGCCCGUGCGAUCCUAUCAACAAAAAUAUCGAGCGGAAUCUCUGUCAUGAAUUUGUUCUGGCUUGUUUCGUAAGUGGCACCCUUUAUUUUAUGAAGUAAGGUAAUUCGAGUUGCUUCAAUGUCAAGUGGUGAAUUCAUAACUUUCCAAUAGGUGUUCUCAUAUUUUUAUGGGAAUGCAAAUUGUUUUGCUCAAUCAAGUUGUCUUUUCAAUUCUUGUCAACCGGAGUCAUCAUGUCAAUUCUUUUUCAACCGUGUGUUUCUCUUCAAGUGAUUCAGUCCUCUCCAAUAUUGUGUAAGAUCAAUAUCUCAUUUGUUUUCGGAGUUCAUCUCAUCUGUCCCAAGUUGUCUUUGGUUUUUUUGCCGCCCUCCCUCCCUUUUUCUCCAAUGAUUUAGUUAUCAUCCAAGUGCAUUUUAAUUCAUUGAUGCUUCUGUUGUCUUUUCUUUUCUCUCUUAUCCGGUGAUUCAUUGUGAAGGUGCUCAGUGUUAAGUUCAUCAUUUUUUCAGUCUUGUUCUCUUUUCCGGUGGAGCCAAUUCAAGCUAUUUGUGUUCAUCAUAUCCUUUUCAUCCUUUAAAUUCUUUCCCAUGUUGGAAAUUCUUAUCAAGUCUUUUUUGUUUUUCAUCUCUCUCUAUUCUAUACGGUGUGUUGAAGAUUCUCACAGUUUCUUGUUCUCAAUCCUUUCAAUUAUUUUGAGGUUCCUAACCUCAUCGAGUUUUCAGUAAUGCCGGUGCAAUAUCUCUAUUUCCAAUCAAUUGUUUCAAUGGUGUUUUCUUUUAGUGGGCCCAUAACCCACAGGUUUUUUCGAGGAUCUUAUCUGGCUCUUCUAAUCUUUUCCGGAGAUCUCUAAUUCUUUUCAAAUAUGACGUAAGUAUGCAUUCCAUCAGUCAUAUUCCUUCCUCAAGGUCAAUCUGAAUUAUUUCAUCAUUGGCCCAACUUUUCAUAUUCUUAUUCCGGAGUGUCUUAAUUAUUCUUUGUGGUGUUCUCCUCAUCAUUUUUAGCUCGGAAGACCGAAGGAGUGUUUCUCUCAAAUCUUUGUCCAUUCUCCUAAAGAUUCAUCAUUUCAGCUUUGUGUUAUCAUCUUGAAUUGUUUUCAAUCAUGAGAAAUUCCUUCCAUAUUUAUCUGGUGCUAUUUUAGAAUUGUUUUCAUUCUCGGUCCUUCCGGAAGGCCAUCAUUUCAGUAAGUAUUUCUUCGUCCUCAGUCUUUCAGUCUUCAUUCUACWAAAUUCUUCUCAAUUGUUGUCUCUUCGUUCGUUCGYUCUUCCNNNNNNNNNNNNNNNNNNNNNNNNNNNNNNNNNNNNNNNNNNNNNNNNNNNNNNNNNNNNNNNNNNNNNNNNNNNNNNNNNNNNNNNNNNNNNNNNNNNNUAGGCCUAUGUUUGUCUAUAGCAUGAGGUUUAGCAAUUGUAGCAGCAUCUUCACAGAAGUGAAUAUCAUGGCCCUCAACAUCGUCAGACAGGAGAUCUUUGAUAAUAGCAAUGCUAGGUUCAACUCUAAUUUGCUCAGGGGGUGUAGGUGUUCUAAUGUAUCCCCUAGGUAUCACAGUUGAAACUUUAGAAUGAUCCUUUAUCCUAACAGGGAAAGGUGGUUCCUCAACGUAAGCACUAGGAACAAUAGGAUCAUUAUAAGCGAUGACUCUCUCUUCAACUGGAUUAGGUUUAACUACAUUGACUUCUAAGGCAGGAUGAUAUUUAAACCACUUCUCUUUAGGGAGAUCAAUAUGAGCAGCAAAUGAUUCACACAAUGAAGCUACUAUCUCAAAGUCAAGUCCAUAUUUAGCGCUAAAAUCACAAAAAGUAUUUGUUCCAACAAAGGAUUUAACGCAAUCAAACUUGAAAUUCAUACCUGACUCCUUACCUUCAUCAAACUCCCAAUCUUCAGAGUUGCGUUUAAUUCUUUCCAAUAAAUUCCAUUUGAAGUCAAUAUCUCUCUUCAUAAAAGAACCGAUACAAGAAGUGUCAAGCAUGGUGCGAUUAUCAUGAGAAAGCCGAGCAUAAAAGUUCUGAAUGAUAAUUUAUCUCGAGAGCUCAUGGUUGGGGCAUGAAUAUAACAUUGAUUUAAGCCUCCCCCAAGCUUGAGAGAUGCUUUCUCUAUCACGAGGCCAAAAAUUAUAAAUAUAAUUCCGAUCACGAUGUACCAAAUGCAUAGGAUAAAACCUUUGAUGAAAUUCCAAUUUCAAUCAGUUGUAGUUCCAUGAUCCAGUAUCAUCACAUAGCCUAUACCAUGUCAAUGAUUAUCCCUCAAAGAUAAGGGAAAGACCUUCUUCUUGACCCCGGGCAAACCUGCAAGCUUAAAUAAACCACAAACUUCAUCUACAUAGAUUAGAUGCAAGUCGGGAUGUGAUGUUCCAUCUCCUGUAAAAGGAUUAGCCAGCAAUUUCUCAAGCAUACCCAAAGGAAAUUCAUAGCAAAUAUUUUCAGUAGGUGCAGCAGGUUGAGGAGCAACUCCUUGUGCUUCCGUUCGAGGUGAAGAUACCCCGAACAAGCUCCUCAAAGGAUUAGUUUCCAUAGUAACAAGUGACAAUAAAUUUCAGCACACUAUAUAAAUGUUUCCUUACCAAAUUCCACUUACGAAAGGCGCUUCACUCCUCAGAAACGGCGCCAGAAAAGAGUCUUGAUGACCCACAAGUGAAGGGGAUCAAUCGUAGCCUUUCGAUAAGUAAGAGUGUCGAACCCAACGAGGAGCAGAAGGAUCUGACAAGUGGUUUUCAGCAAGGUAUUCUGUGCAAGCACUGAAAUUAUCGGUAACACAUAGUUGUGCGGAAAGAUGAUUCGUAGCAAGUAGCAAGUAACAAGUAGCAAUAGUAACAAAGGUGCAGCAAAGUGGCCCAAUCCCUUUUGUAGCAAGGGACAAGCCUGGACGAACUCUUAUAAGAGGUAAAGCGCUCCCGAGGACACAUGGGAAUUUCUGUCAAGCUAGUUUUCAUCAAGUUCAUAUGAUUCGCGUUCGCUACUUUGAUAGUUUGAUAUGUGGGUGGACCAGUGCUUGGGUGCUGCCCUUACUUGGACAAACAUCCCACUUAUGAUUAACCCCUCUCGCAAGCAUCCGCAACUACGAAAGAAGAAUUAAGACAAAGUCUAACCAUAGCAUUAAACUAGUGGAUCCAAAUCAGUCCCUUACGAAGCAACGCAUAAACUAGGGUUUAAGCUUCUGUCACUCUAGCAACCCAUCAUCUACUUACUACUUCCCAAUGCCUUCCUCUAGGCCCAAAUAAUGGUGAAGUGUUAUGUAGUCGACGUUCACAUAACACCACUAGAGGAAAAACAACUUACAACGCAUCAAAAUAUCGAACGAAUACCAAAUUCACAUGACUACUUAUAGCAUGACUUAUCACAUGUCCUCAGGAAUAAAAGUAACUACUCACAAAGCAUAAUUAUGUUCAUGACCAGAGAGAUAUUGAAUAGCAUCAAGGAUCUGAACAUAUAAUCUUCCACCGAGUAAUCCAACUAGCAUCGACUACAAAGAGUAAUUAGCACUACUAGCAACCUUACAAGUACCAAUCGGAGUCGUGAGACGGAGAUUGGUUACAAGAGAUGAACUAGGGUUUGGAGAUGAGAUGGUGCUGAUGAAGAUGUUGAUGGUGAUGAGUGCCCUCCGAUGAGAGGAGUGUUGGUGAUGACGAUGGCGACGAUUUCCCCCUCCGGGAGGGAAGUUUGCCCGGCAGGAUGACCCUACCAGAGCUCUAGAUUGGUUGUGCUCAAGUUCCGCCUCGUGGCGGCGGCGAUUCCUCCCGAAAGCCUCCUCCUGAUUUUUUCCGGAAUGAAACCCUCCUUAUAGCAAAAGAGGGGAGCCAGAGGGACAACAGGGAGCCCACAAGCCUCCUAGGCGCGGCCAGGGGGUAGGUCGCGCCUAGCAGGCUUGUGGCCUCCUGGUGGCUCCCCUCUGGUACUUCUUCAGCCCAGUAUUUUUUAUAAAUUCCAAAAUAAUUCCUCGUUGAUUUUCACGGCUUUUGGAGUUGCGCAAAAUAGGUAUCCCAAACUUUCUCCCUUUUCAGGCCAGAAUUCCAGCUGCCGGCAUUCUCCCUCUUCAUGUAAACCUUGCAAAAUAAGAUAGAAAAGGCAUAAGUAUUGUACCGUGAAGUGUAAUAACAUCCCAUAAAGCGAUAAAUAUCAACAUAAAAGCAUGAUGCAAAAUGGACGUAUCACAGCCCCAGAACCUCUGAUCGAUGUGCGCCAUCUCUGACUACCCAGCACACCACACUAAAGUUAGCAGAACUUCACAAGAAUGGUAGCAACUACUCAUAGGGAUGCCUAGAGCCUAAAACAAGCAUUCAAACUACUUGGAAAUUCAAGAAUUCAACAUGCAAGCUCAUCUAUAGAAACACCCAGAGUAGCUAAUUACUUCUGAGAUAAACCACUAGAGCAAAAACUAAUUGGAGGAGUGGGGGAGUUAUUUACCAAGGAGCAAUCCUCCAAAACAGUUUCGGAAAUGGAGUUUUGAGCAAAGAGAUCGAAAUCCAGGGUUUGAGGGCAAGAACGAGAGAAAGAGAGCUACACGAAUUUUUAUGUAGAGGUGAGUGAUGAAGUGGGAUGAAGGAAUAAGUGAGGGGACCCCCGAGGGGCCGACUAGACACCUGGCUGCGCUAGGGGGCUCGCGCGCCCUGGUGUCUAGUGGCCACCUGAGACACCCCCUGCAGUGUUUUUAGUGCUAGAAAUUCUCAAAUAUUCAGAAAACAAUUGUGUAAAAAAUUUCAGGUCAUUUGGAGUAACUUUUADUUUUDGGKCUACUUUUUUWWUGCAACGUAAAAUAUACAAGUAAAAUAGGAAUAAAUCAAUGUAACUUUUAUUAAUUAAAUUAAACUAAAAAAUAAACAAGGGUAAAAUAAAGUAGGUAACAAGAGUAAAUUGUAGACCUUAACUAAAUUACAACGUAGUNNNNNNNNNNNNNNNNNNNNNNNNNNNNNNNNNNNNNNNNNNNNNNNNNNNNNNNNNNNNNNNNNNNNNNNNNNNNNNNNNNNNNNNNNNNNNNNNNNNNUGUCCAUCAGGCCCUCUGGAAUAUGGUGCACGAAAAGCUGCACUGAAGUCUGCCCAUGUGGCUGCUGGUUCAGCGGGACGCAUAGCUUCAAAGUUCUCCCACCACAGAUUGGCGGGUCCUUCCAGAAAAUACGCCGCCAAGGUCACCUUGUCGGCCUCAGAAACAUUCGCAGAGCGAAUCUUGCGUGAGAUGCUGCACAACCAGUCAUCAGCGUCGAGGGGAUCGAUGGAGUGAUGAAACUUUGGAGGAUUCAGCUUCACAAAGUCGUUGAGGGACAUUGCAGCAUUCCUAGGCUGACGAGCCAUAUUCUGCUCAAUACGCUCUAACAGUCGGUUGGUCUCCCUUUUGUUUCUCUCUGCCUCAAGCAUAACUUCCGCCAGAGAGGGCGGGUGAGGCAGGUCUUCCUGCGACGCUUGACUACGCUCGCCUUGCUCAUGAGCAGGGGCACGGUUCAACCUGGUGAACACCAUCCUGACAAACAGACUCACAGCUUAGACCAAUAUCAUAUCAAUACCAGCUAUGGAUUAAGAAUGUACUGAACACACGGAAUGCGGAAAUGAAUAUCCGAACAACAUGGUAACAAGCAACUGCUAUAUAUACACCAUGGUUCAUACACACCCUUACAUAGUUCAGUACAACCUUAACCGAAGAGAAAACUACUGAAAUUAUGAAACUACUCAUCAGAGGCUUACAAGCUUCCUAUACAUUAUUUAUCUAGGCCUCCGGAAUUCAUUUCACAUCAUAGGCAUACUUCACAAGUCACGCAGGACUGUGAACGUACGGUUACUACCAUACUAUCCUUCCGCUCACAGCUCAGGCAUCCACAUAGAACAUCUCAAAGAGAUUACCUCCAUGGCCUGGAAGCUCAACCUGCGGAUGAGGAAACACUCUGGCCUGAGAUCCGUGGGAUCCAUAAGGACACGGAUGUGGCCUUGGUCCCCUGACUGGUGGUAAGAGGGGUCCCCGAAGAGGGGUGACUCCUCCUAUAGCUGGCCAGUCAACGUGGGCCGGAAGAUGGGUCCUAACAGGGUUCAGCAUAUCCAUAUCUCCGUACCCUGUCUGGACUACCGGUGCCAGCUGCGUCAAAGCCGUCCACAGACGGGCACGGGUAGCAUAAAGCUCCAUGCGGAGAGCACGAGCAUCCCUGUCUCUGUUCUCUAGCAUCUCAACAGUGGAUUGCAGUAGUGGAUCCUCCAUAGAAGAAUCAAAAUAGACUCCGCUGAGGUAUCCCUCUUCACCAGGCUGAGAGGCCGGAACAUAGCAGAAUUCUGAAUUCUGCAGCAGUGCAUGACUCGCCCUCAUAAUGGUCAGCAUUGAAUAGGCAGCAUCUUGUACUGCCAUGUCAACAGUGACUCCCAACCCAUAGGACCAAUGGAUUGGAUGCUCAACUCCAGGGUAGUCUGGAAAUACCCUAACAAUGCAGAUGUACUGGCUCUGGUUGAAGUCUCGGUACUGUUCCUCCACUGUGUACUCGGGGUACCAGCGGUAACCGCACACCGACAUCACCCUGACCAGCAUGGCCGUAUGACCGAGUACAUCAAUGCACCUGGUCAGACGUACCACCUGACGAGAAGGACGACCAGGCAUCUGUAAAUAGAGAGUAAUGCAAAAGCAUUAGAGCUCCGAAUGCAAAAUUGGGCAGCAUAACGGCUGUAAAUGCUGAAAAACAAAUUUGGAGACAACCCAAAAUGGAAUAGCGUAACCACUCAACUAUCAAGUUCAACUCUCUGAUCAUCAAACUUACUUCCCUUUUUCCUAGGAAUGAAAGAAACCCAAAUAUCUCUUGACCAGUAGUCCUAUAAUCUACCGAGCAGAAACACGAGCCUAGAAGAAGAUGAGUAACCUAGUCCUUAAUUCCCGCAGAAAAGACGAGGAUGACCAGAAUAGAAUAACUUGAGGAGAGAACAAGAGUCUUACGUUCCCUUCCACAAACAAUUCCCUUAUAUAUAACUAAAGCAAUUCUAGACUCAACUUCGACCAGUUUGGCUUAGUAAUCCUACAGUCAGUCAGGCUCUGAUACCAACGCUGUCGGGACCCCGAUCCUAAGCCAUAGGAAUCCAGCCUGUAACACAUCGCAUCCCUUUGCGGUCGCAUGCACGGUUAACCCCACGGCUCGACCUUACCUUAGCCAGGACCGUUUGCGUCUUUUGACUCACAUAUGCAAUUGUGUCACUAGCAUUCCAAUGUCAAAGAACCCGGAUCGACAAGUCUAGUCAUAAACCAAAGUGGCAGUACCACACAGGGACAUGCAUACAUGACCCAACAAACGCGAGGUAGUCGGUACACCGAGCGAACUAGGUACGACGGACGUACGUAGACAAGCUACWASGACRMGGUACCUCCUAACUUACUAUCGGCGUAGACCUAACGUUUACCCCGAAANNNNNNNNNNNNNNNNNNNNNNNNNNNNNNNNNNNNNNNNNNNNNNNNNNNNNNNNNNNNNNNNNNNNNNNNNNNNNNNNNNNNNNNNNNNNNNNNNNNNUCUAUUUGUAUUUGUGCAAACAUAUUAGCCUACAAACUGAACUACAGGGAAGAAAGAAACUAAUGCCAAUAAAAGAUUGCAAUAUAAUAUCGCCCGUUGAAGCCUGCAGCUUAUGGUUACCAAUGCUUUUGACCACCUUCCUUUCUAUGCCUCUGCAGAAACAUGCUCCAUUGACCAUCGUCGACAUGAAUUGACAGUUCUCUCAUGGACUGAACAACUCAGCUUCUCAAACAAAGUGUAGGAUACGAACGUAGUGGUCGGGAAAUCGACAAUUACAGAGAUGGCAACAACGUCGUACGGCCAGCCGGCCAUAAUUACCAGAUCAAUCGAUCUGAAGAAUUGGUGUACCACAGGGAGGUACCAUCGAUGGAAACAUGUAUGGCCUGACACCAUUGGAGGAGAGAGAUCGACACGUAUGAGGCACAGGAAAAUAGAUCGAUCUAAAGAACUGGAAUAUUACAAAGCGGUUUUUUAUGCCGGCAGCAGUUAGGGCAUGACACAUUGAAGGAGAGAGACAUGGAUGAGGCAUAGUAAAUGUAGGAAAAUAGAUAAAUCUAAAGAACGGGAGUAUUACAGAGGGUGCGUAUGUCGGCAACACUUGGGCAUGACACCGUUAGAAGAGAGAGAGAGGUAGGAGGCAAAGGAAACGAAAAUUGCAACAUGACUUGUGAAUUCUCAGUGGUAUAUAGAGAUAGAAUAGAUGUGUUUAUAUUGUUUAAAGAAUAAUUAAUGCACAUGAUUUAAUGGCAUGUAUGGGUAAUUAUUCAACUACAUAACGUCAAAGAUCUAAUGGCUUCAGAGGUGGAUUAGAUGAGUCAAUCUGCACCGUAAUAACUCGGUCCCACCGAAUUAACGGCUCAUAAAUUCUAAUUAACGUGGGAAUUUCUAGGGAGUCUAAAAUUAGUAUAAGUAUAAAUGUGAUGUCAAAUAUAUAUAUAUAUAUGCUGUGAAAUAAUUAUAAAACAAAAAAAACAGGUACUAUAUGGGCUCUUUGCCGUCUGCCAGCUGAUGGCAAAGACCUGUGCCAUCAGCUGACAGAUGGCAAAGGUGCCACAUGGCAUCCAGCUGUGCAUCCUGGGGUGUCUAUAUAGGCUUCUUUGUCGUCUGUCUUCGAGGGUGGCAGACGGCAAAGAGAGGGCACAGGAGGAGGGGGGGAGGAGGGAGGGCGAGGCCGGAACGAAAGGAGGUGGGGAGGGGGGGGGGRGAGGAGGGSAGRCGAGSAMRGASKAAAGGGKAGCAAAACGNAAAAGUGAGGAGGGGGGGGGGANAGGAGGACGNNNNNNNNNNNNNNNNNNNNNNNNNNNNNNNNNNNNNNNNNNNNNNNNNNNNNNNNNNNNNNNNNNNNNNNNNNNNNNNNNNNNNNNNNNNNNNNNNNNNGGAGAGAAAGAGAGGAGGAGGACAAGAAGAAGAAUAAAGAAGAAGGAGAAGGAGGAGAAGGACUAGAAGUCCUUGGCCUUCUCCUCCUUCUCCUCCUCCUCCUCCUCCUCCUUCUCCUUCUUCUCUUCUUCUUCUUCUUCUUUCUUUUCAUUAUUCCUAUUUCUUCUCCUCUUCUUGGAGCUAAAUUACCUAAUUAUGUCUUUUUGGAGCUAAAUGGGCUAAUUAUCUGAUUUUUGAGGAAAACAAGCUAAGUAUAUAAUAUUCAUCAGCUAACCAAGGUUCUUAUGCCAUUUUGAGGUUCUUAUGCCAUUUUGGAGCUAAAUGGGCUAAUUAUGUCUUUUUGGGGAAAUUAAAGCAAGGAUAAUAUGAAAGAGGAGAAGAGAAACUUACCGUAGUGGUCAUCAAGGAGGAGAAACACCACGGUUGCUCGCAGCGGCUUCGUUUGGAGACGGUUGCCCUGGAGAAGGGUCGUGCGAUGCCGCUCGGGAGUUAUUCUGCAGAAAAGAUAUUUUUCUAAUGUCUCAGUUAGCAUGAUGACACUCAAUUAUUAAUACUAGUUUAUAAUGAAACUCACUGUGCCAAUCGAAGAGAAGACGGGCGAUCGGCGGAGGGACUUGACCGCUCUUCUCGCACAGACCCUGAAGAGUGGGUCGUAUUAGUUUGUAAUGAAACAGACAUUACACACAUGAUUUGGCUAAUGUGAAAAAAACAUACCACAAAAAGCUCGUACAGGGCCCGUUGACCCGCCUCAUUCCGGGCCCUCUCCUCCUCAACCAAUCGUGCCGUGGUCUGGUCCCUCUCAUCAAGAGCAGCCUGAAGAGCAGCCUGGCUUGCCAAUCUCUCUUUCUCAAGAGCAGCCUGGUUUGCCGCUCUCUCUUUCUGAAGAGCAGCCUGAAACACCAUUCCUCGUUACCACAGUAAUGAUCUAUGGUGACACACAUAAUGAAAUGGAUGAAAGUGUUCUUAGUCCGUACAACUAACCUCGAUGGCAAGUUCGACUGGCCGUGGACGACGCGUUAUCUCAGGACAGCUGCUCGACUGGCGCGCCUUGAUCUCCGGAAGAGUGAGUGGACAACGUAUUAUCCCAUCUCCAAUGGCUAACGAGCCAUGGGGCCUCCCGCCACCAGAUAUCAUCACCAGCUCUGGAUCCAAAGGAUCCUGGCUAGGGUUAAAGUCAUCCCCUUUCGUAGCCUUCCCCGCAUCCGUGUAUGCCACGAGCUUCUGGUGGGAUGAUAUGUUGGUGAAGUUAUUGGGAUCAUCCAGGUCAGACUCAGAGAAUGCCUUCGCCUUCUUGUACGAGGCAAUAUGGGCCAUGCCAUAAAGGUCGUACAAGUGUGGCAUCUCAGUCUUAUUCUGAUGCGCCUAAAAGUGAGGAACAAAAUAUUAGCAUCAAGAAUGAAUUGCAUGAAUCAUGAAGCAAAUCACAUACCCAGUUUCGUCCAAACAGAAGUAAGUUGGUGCUGCCUUGAUGGUGUGGCACACCAACCAUUUGGCUACACCGAUCCUUCGCAUUCUCGUGGACGGCUCGCCAGCUGCCUGCGCACCACUCAUCAACCAACGCCUCCCAACAAUCCAUCUUAUCCGCACACCAUCUCGGGGGCACCUGUAAGUUAUUAGAAAGAAUUUUCAGCGCAAUGCCUAUGAAUGAAAUCAAGAAAACUACGUAGAAGGACUUAAGAAUAGGUAAUUACCUUCAUGUAUUGCUCCUUCUUCAGAAACUUUCUGCGGCAAUCCUUCUUCUGCUUCUUAAUACCACGUGUGGCGUAGUAAUCUCGAAUAGCCUGCGGCCGAACCUCGUGGCGCAAGUUCUGUAGUAACCGCCUACACACGGCCUCGAGAACCCUGGCCGCCGCCUCCUCAUAUCCAUCCUCACACCUAUAGAAGGUCUGCAAUGAAACGUGAAAACACCGAUUAGUACAAUAAUUAGCUAUAUUGUUAAUUUUAGAUUCUGUAAAAGGAUAAUUUACCCAAAAGCUCUUGAUCACCAUCUCGGCCCUCGUGUGGCACAAGACACCAUCUAUAAUCUCCUCUGGCGGGGCCUGCGCAGCCUCGUAGUGCUCCCAGGAAAAUCCUAGUGUAGGAACCUGACCCUCACCAUGCAACAUGGCAAAACCCGGCAAAUUUGUCCGGCAAAGCACACCAAGGAUGGAGUUCGGCCUGCGGACUCCAAGAGGGUGUACCCAUCCCCUGCAGUAUGAUAAGGUCAAUGCAUUAGAUAUUUGAACAAACUUGAAGGCAAAAGCUAAAAAAGGGUAAAUGUACUUACCUAUCUCCUUCAGGUUUAAUCACCGGCCUCUGCUCGCGGGUAGCCGGGGCGACCGGGAGACGUGUACUACCACGCUUGUACACGGUGGCCCCGUCUACCUGCACAUUGCCCUCACUAUCCGUAAGCUCAUCCCCGCCAUCCCCGACCCCUGAGCCACCCGGACCCUCGGUCCAAUCCAGCAACUCGGUACGAUCCGGCCAGGUCUCCCAUCCAGGCCUCUCCACAUCGGGUGAAGCCUCCAGAACCGUAGUCUCCUUCGGCUGCUCCUGGGCCGAAUGCACCUCGACCCGCGGCUGCUCCUGGAUUGGAGUCUCAUGGGACGAAUGCCCGUCAACAACAGGCUCCUGGAACGGAGUCCCCGUAGCCUCCUCCGUAAACGGGUCGACCAUACUAGUCCUAUGCUCGGGUGAAUGAGCUGGUGGUGGUGGCGAGGACGGCUCAACAGUCCUCCUGGAUCUUCCGCGGCCACCACCUCUCCCUGUACCCUUCCCCUUCUUCCCUACCCGACCAGCACCUCUCCCAGUGGGCAAUGCCGUCGACGAAGAAGAACCCACGGGUGGUGUCGACAGACUGUCUGCCAAGGCUCUACGGAGAGAUAGGGGUGGAAGGGAAGUACCACCCCUCGUGCGGGGCGCUUGGGAAGAACCCGUCGAGCGAUCUGGACCAGCGCCCACCAUCUUUCCACACCUGGUGAACUACCAUGAUAAAGACUAAAAGAAAUUAGUACAACAUAAAAAAAUUGAAUAACUGACAUGAAUWAUAAUAUGUACAUGAAUAAUAAAGAUUAAAAUAUAUAUAAUUUAAGUUGUGAAUCUUACAAACUAAUAAUCAUCAUAAAUAAAUGCAUCAUCAUCAUCACUAUCACGCAUGUCUUCAUGAAUGACGUGCUCGUCGGGUUCAACGGCGUGAAGUUAUGAAAGGCCUUCCUUUAAUCGUUGAAGCAUUGACAGGUCAUCCGCAUCAGUAACGUCUGCGAGUUCCAGGUCUUCUGGUUCCGGCUCAGGGCUGGAGUCGGAUUCAUUGUCGCUGUCUACUUCCAUGUUCUUGGGUGAAGAACGGCGGUUCUUGAAACGUUUCUUGGAAAGACGUGUUUCUUGGAAGAAUUCUCCAUCAUAUGUGUCUGGGUUAAUGUGAGGUUCAUAAUCUUGUUCAUUUGGGAGAGGUGGUCUGACAUGUGGCGGCACUUCAUAAACAACAUACCAACCUUCCAGAUUCUUAUCCGUUUGGCAUGCCCACGGUAGAUAGAAAACUUGGGUCGCCUGUUGAGCCGUAAUAUAGACAUCGGGAACAUCUAAAUGGGUGUUUGGAUUGAUUUCGACUAGUCCUAUAUGUUCAUGAUUCCUUCUAGUCUUUUUCAGCUGGAACCAAUAACAUUUGAAGACUACGACGUUUGGUGGGUUUUCACCAUAGAAUUGAAGUUCAUAAAUUGCUUCAACUCUUCCAUAAUACUCGAUAACACCUUCGCCGAUAGCAGAGACACCACAAUUUGUAGAUUUCCGGUUGGGCAUAGAUAGCUCUUUGCCAAAGGUACAAAAGAGAUACCCGUUGGUGUUGUAUUUCUCAAAUGAACGGACCUUAUAGUCAAAACCAUUAGUGACUUGUCUCAAUUCGGCGUCCAUAGACUCUGAAUUAGCCUACAAGUUUAAUACGAAACGGUUGUUGCAUUAGCCGCAAGUUAGACCAAGAAUGAAAUGAUCAUUAUUGAUAAUUACCGUUUGUUUGAACCAAGAGAUGAAACCAGGAUAGCCGCCUCCUGUCUUUGACAAAAGCUCAUACUCUUCGACGGAAUCAUUUUUGAUCACCGCUCCAUCCAAGAAUUUGACGACGUAACGGCUGUUCGAAAUAUCCGGGAAUAAGAGCAGUUCAAAUGAAUUAGAAGUUACGGGAAAUGUGUCAAGAACUCACUCGAUGUACGGUCGCACUUCUAUUAGGUUGUUGAAGAUAUACAACGAAAUGUUCCGCCAUUCUUCGACAUCCAACGUUAUUGGUUUCGAAGCACCGGCUGGUGCGAGCUUCCCUUUCGAUAGGCUGAGGUUGGACCCACCUUUUUUAGGGCCUGCAUCAUUGUGCCGAGGCUUCGGAUUAUGCAAAUGAUGAUUUUUGGCUUCGUAGUGUGCUGUCACAAAGUUUGCCACCUCCUCAGUAAUGAAUGCCUCAGCCAUCGAUGCUUCAAUUCUAUGCUUAUUUUUACAUUUAGCUCGAAGGGUCUUCUGCAUCCUCUCAGUUGCAUAGAACCAACGAUCUUGCACGGGCCCACCCAAUCUUGACUCGGUCGGUAGAUGUAAAAUCAAAUGCUCCAUUGGAUUAAAGAAGCCCGGUGGAAAGAUCUUCUCUAACUUGCACAACAACUCCGGUGCAAACUCCUCCAUGUCUUCUACCACGCCAGGCGACAAUUCUUUCGCACAAAGAACACAGAAGAAAUAGCUCAGCUCCGCUAGUACUAGCCAUUCAUCCUCAGGAAUAAAGCCACGUAACAUCACCAGCAUUACCCACUCUAGCCAUAUGUGCCAAUCAUGACUCUUGAGACCAAAGAUUUUUAAUUUUUCAAGACUCGCUCCCCUCUUUAGAUUCGCUGCAUACCCAUCGGGGAACAUCAAGUGCAUUUUGACCCACAAGAUAAUUUCCCUCAUAGCUGGCCUUCCAAGAUUGAACCAGGCCUUUGGCUUCGACCACUUCUGCUUUCCUUUGCCUUCUCGCAUGUUUUGUAACGGUCUAUGACAUAGUGUCUCUUGAUCGACUCUAGCCUUAAUAUUAUCCUUUGUCUUCCCAUCUAUGUCGAACAAUGUACCAAAAAUAGCCUCUCCGAUAUUCUUUUCAGUGUGCAUCAUGUCGAUAUUGUGUGGAAGAAGGAGGUCUUUGAAGUAAGGCAGAUCCCAGAAGCAUGGCUUGUGAGUCCAGGCGUGUUUUGAAUUAUACCCCUUGAAAUACCCUGGACGCUCUGGAUCAGGCUCGAGGGCGUUUAACUGAUCCAGGAUCUGUUGGCCUGUGAACACACGUGGUGCCAAGUUUUUGACAACUUUACCUUUCGUAAAGUUCUUCUUGUCUUUUCUGAACUGAUGGUCAGGAUCCAGGAACUGUCUAUGCAAGUCAAAGCAAGAAUACUUCCAACCCUCCUGCAACCAAUGAAACUGAAGAGCUGCCUUGCAUUGGGGGCACGGGAACCUUCCAUGCACACACCAUCCAGAGAAUAGCGCAUACGCUGGCAAGUCAUGCAUAGAGUACAUGUACCACACAUGCAUUUUGAAGUUUUCUUUUCUAGCGGCAUCGUAUGUCUUGACCCCAUUAUCCCAAGCUUCUUCCAAUUCAUCCUUAAGCGGUUGCAGGUACACAUUCAUAUUCUUCCCCGGAUAAUUGGGCCCUGGAAUUAUCAACGUCAGAAAUAUGUUCUUUCUUUGCAUAAUCUGCCCGGGGGGGAGGAUUGAGUGGAAUGACAAAUAGAGGCCAACAACUGUAUUGGGUUGCCGUCAUGCCGAAGGGAUUAAAACCAUCCGUGGCGGCGCAGACUCGAGGAUUCCUUGGAUCUUCCGCUUUACCCUGAUGCAAUCCAUCGAAAUGUUUCCACGCUUCCCCAUCCCAUGUGUGUACCAUCAUCUUAUUCCCAUCCGCAUCUAGUUCGGUUCUUUUGCCCAAUUUGUGCCAUGUCAUCUGUCUGGCUGUCUCUUCGACCAUGAAAAGACGUUGAAGUCUUGGUACGAUUGGCAUAUACCGAAAAACACUAACUGCGAUUUUGGUCUGCCUCUUCUCGCCCAUACCGUUGUCUACCACAAGAUACCUGCAAGACUCGCAAUUGGGACAAUAGUCCAAGUGUGCAUACUCCUUCCUAAAUAAGACACAUUCCUUUCUCACAUGCAUCUAUCUUCUCAUAGGGCAUCUUAAGUACACGAAGUAUUUUGUCCGACUGGUACAGGUUUGCAGGCAUGACAUGGCCUUUGGGUAGGAAACGUCCAAAUAGUGUCAUCAUCGCGUCGUAGCAUUCUCUUCCCAAGUUGAACUGAGCCUUCAGAGUCAUUACUUGUGCAAUUGCAUCCAGCUGACAGAGCUCGGUGUGAUCAUGGAGAGGGCGUUUUGAAGACUCCAACAUCUCACAAAAGGCCUUCGCAGAUUCCUCCAUCUCAUCUUCCGAAUCCCGAGCAUCAUCAAAGUCUUGCACCAUGUCUUCGAUCCCGGUACCAUGCUCGUCCGUGCAACGACGGACCACCUCAGCUCUUGUGCGUUGUAGGCAACCUACACACUAAUAGGUAAAGAUAGGUCCUAAUCCCACCCGAGUAUGUGUAGAUUGGGUUCGUUUUCCCAUGCUCUGCUCUGGAUCCAACGCAAAAUUUCGGCAGCACCUCCCCGCUGUUCUCCUGAUACACGUCUCCGCAAUAAACAGAGAGGAUGUGCAUCCGGAGAACAACGGGGGAGGCACUGACGAAAUUCCGCAUCGGAUCCAGAGCACAGCAUACGGGAAAACAACCCAAUCUACACAUACUCGGGCUGUCCAUGGAUAAUGUUGGACAAUUCCAAAGGAUGGCGGUUAUAAAUAUGCAAAGACAUGCAUAUUUAUAGAUGUCGCCCUUUCGAACGGGAGACGCAUACUGGUCACGCAUACUCAUGAUUGAAGAAACCUAUAUAUAUAGAUAGCAAGUUUCAUCGACACGAAGACCGGGACAGAGCAAAUUAAGGGGAUAGGAGGAGAAGUCAUUUGUGCUCACCAACAAACGUAGGGGCGGAGCUCGUCCAAUGCACGUGGAGGUCGUCGAACAACUGCACAUUGAAAUUCACCCGAUCAACACAAUUAUGAUGUUUUAUAAGAUAAUCAAAAAAAUAUWGUGACCUAACUCUUAUUUUAUUUUUUAUUUUUUCCUCUUAUUCUUCUUCUUAUUAUUAUUAUUAUUUUAUUUUUUAAUUUUUUUCCUCUUAUUCUUCUUCUCCUUCUUCUUCUUUUCUUCUCUUCUUCUUCUUCUUCUUCUUAUUCUUAUUCUUAUUCUUAUUUUCUUUUUUAUUUUUCCUCUUAUUCUUCUUCUCCUUCUUCUUCUUUUCUUCUUGUCUUAUUAUUAUCAUCAUUAUUAUUAUUAUUAUUAUUAUUAUUAUUCUUAUUUUCUUUUUUCUUUUUCCUCUUAUUCUUCUUCUCCUUCUUCUUGUUUUCUUCUCUUCUUCUUCUUCUUCUUAUUAUUAUUAUUAUUAUUAUUAUUAUUAUUAUUUUUAUUUUUUCCUCUUAUUCUUCUCUUGCUCUCCUAUUUUUCUUCUUCUUCUUCUUCUUCUUUCUUCCCCUUCCCUUCCUUUUCAUUCUUCUUCUUUUCCUUCUUCUUCUUUUUUUUUCUUCUCCUUUCUCCAUUCUUCUUCUUCUCCUUCUUAUUUCUUCUCCUUCCCUUCCUUUUCCUUCUUCUUCUUCUUCUUCUUCUUCUUAUUCUUCUUCUUCUUCUCCUUCCCUUCCUUUCCUUCUUCUUCUUCUUCUUCUUCUUCUCCUUCCCUUCCUUUUCCCUUUAACCCCCCCGUGUUCGUGYCGCCUACCUACUAACCUACUAAACGUCCCCCCCCGUUGUUUUCGUCGUUCGGGUCCUUUACCCCCCCUUUUUUAAACCCCCCCCCGNNNNNNNNNNNNNNNNNNNNNNNNNNNNNNNNNNNNNNNNNNNNNNNNNNNNNNNNNNNNNNNNNNNNNNNNNNNNNNNNNNNNNNNNNNNNNNNNNNNNAUAGUCACCGUGGUAUGCUGAUUACGCAAACUAUAUCGUAGCCAAAUACAUACCACCCAGUUUCACUACCAGCAAAAGAAKAAAUUCUUCUUUGAUUUGAGACACUACUUUUGGGAUUAUCCUCACCUUUAUAAGGAAGGAGUAGAUGGUGUUAUUAGACGUUGUGUGCGUGAACAUGAACAGGGACAAAUCCUGCAGAAGUGUCAUUCCGAAGCCUACGGAGGAAACCAUGCUGGAGACAGAACUGCUCAUAAGGUAUUGCAAUCAGGUUUCUAUUGGCCCACUCUCUUCAAGGAUGCCUGUAAGUUUGUCUUGUCUUGUGACGAAUGCCAAAGAAUAGGGAAUAUCAGUAAGCGUCGGGAAAUGCCUAUGAACUAUUCACUUGUCAUUGAACCAUUUGAUGUCUGGGGAUUAGAUUAUAUGGGACCUUUCCCGAGUUCCAAUGGGUAUACUCACAUCUUAGUUGUUGUGGAUUAUAUCACUAAGUGGGUAGAGGCUAUCCCCACUAAAAAUGUUGAUCACCACACCUCUAUUAAGAAGCUUAAAGAAGUCAUUUUCCAAAGAUUUGGAGUCCCUAGAUAUCUGAUGACCGAUGGCGGUUCACACUUCAUUCAUGGUUUUUUCCGCAAGAUGCUCGCUAAGUACGAUGUCAACCAUAGAGUUGCAUCUCCUUAUCAUGCUCAGUCUAGUGGUCAAGUGGAGUUGAGUAAUAGGGAGAUCAAAUUGAUCUUACAAAAGACCGUCAAUAGAUCUCGAAAGAAUUGGUCUAGCAAACUUGACGAUGCACUAUGGGAUUAUAGGACUGCUUAUAAGAAUACCAUGGGCAUGUCGCCAUAUAAAAUGGUUUACGGUAAGGCCUGUCAUUUACCUCUUGAGCUGGAACACAAGGCUUAUUGGGCAAUCAAAGAGCUUAACUUCGAUUUCAAACUUGCCGGUGAGAAGCGGUUGUUUGAUAUCAUCUCAUUAGAGGAAUGGAGGGCCCAGGCAUAUGAGAAUGCCAAGUUGUUCAAGGAAAAGGUUAAGAGAUGGCACGAUAAAAGAAUACAAAAAUGAGAGUUCAAUGUAGGUGAUUAUGUCCGACUAUACAAUUCUCAUUUAAGAUUCUUCGCAGGCAAGCUUCUCUCUAAAUGGGAAGGUCCCUACGUUGUCGAGUAAGUAUAUCGUUCCGGUGCCAUCAAAAUCAAUAACACGGGAGGUAAUUUUCCUAGAGUGGUAAAUGGGCAAAGAAUAAAGCAUUACAUCUCUGGCACUCCCAUAAAUGUUGAGACCAAUAUCAUCAAUAUCAUAACUCCAGAGGAGUACAUAAGGGAUGUUUAUCAGCCUGUUUCAGACCCUGAAAACGAAAAGGUAUCUAUUUCGGUAAGUAAUUGGACUCCAAAACUUUUCCAAUAGGAAUUUUUCUCCGUUUUGGAAUUUAUGGAAAAUUAGAAAAAUAAAAAGCAGUCCGGAGAGCGCACGAGGCGGCCACAAGCUUGGUUGCCGCGGCCUCCCCCUGGCCGCGGCAACAGGGCUUGUGGGCACCUCGUGUGCCUCCCGGACUCCGUUUUCUUUGCUGAGCACUCCUUUUGGCCCAGAAAAAAAUCAUUAUAUAUACGCCCGAGGGUUUUGAUCUCCGUAUCAUGCAUUUUUCCUUUGUUUUCGUUUCGAGCCUGUUGUCUGCCGCAGAUUUAGGUCAAGAUGUCUUCUCAAGAUUCAGAAGGAGAGAUCUAUGUGGCCGAUGACCGUGCUAACUCCAGGAUUAAUGGGUACUUAGAGCCUUAUGGUUGGACCACAGAUGAGGAAGAGGGUCAUGGACCAAAGGGGAAGGAGCAAACAAGCUCUGGCGAGGAGGAGGCUCCUCUACCUCAACCUGCAAAUACCCAUGUGGAGUUCAAGAAGUCAAGCCUCCCCAACUCCAGGAAGAAGCAUAAGACCCUGUUUAUCCCGUCUCGUUUCUUGCAGGAGAGUAAGCAGGAACUUUGCCAUAGAGUGUUGAAGCUUGAGGAGGAAAAUGAUGAUCUGAGGGACCAGAACUUUUUGCUCAAGUGGAAAUUAGACAAGCUCAAGACAGCUUCAACAACAACACCGCCAUCACCACCAAAGGAAGACAACUAAGCAUUGGUAUGGGCAAUCCCCUUGGCUUAUGCCAAGCUUCGGGGAGUUGCCCUGGUAUCGUAUCACCUUUAUAUCUUUUGCUUUUACCUUUGUUUUAGUUCUUUCAUUUUUAGUUUUAUUUCUUCUCUUAGUGGAAUAAGUCUUUAGUGUUUUAGUUUCAGACUUUUGCCUUGUGUCUCCCUUGAUGUAUUUGAGCUUGCGAUCUAUAUAAUAAAGAGUAUCUUAGUCAAGGGAUUUGCUUUGUGCCGUGAUCAAAAGUAUGAAAAGAAUGAUAGCAUGAAAGAUCAUGGGAUGAUCUUAUGGAAAGUGAUAGCUUCACAUAUAACAAGUAUGAUGAUUGAAACUUGUUGAGAGUAGACCAACAUAGACCUCAGUCAUUGUUGCAAUUAAUAAGAAGUAAUAAGGAAAGAGAGGUUCACAUAUAAAUAUAUCAUCUUAGACACUUUCUAUAAUUGUGAGCACUCACCAAACUAUUACAUGCUUAGAAGUAGAUGUUGGACAAGGAAGACAACAUAAUGAAUUGUCUUUGCUUGGUUCCAAACAAUGUUAUAUGAUUAGAGAUCCCUUAGCAUGUGACGAUUGCUUCCACCUCAUAUUAGCCAAAACUCCCGCACCAAGUAGAGAUACUACUUGUGCAUCCAUAAACCUUCAACCCAGUUUUGCCAUGAGAGUCCACCAUACCUACCUAUGGAUUGAAUAAGAUCCCUCAAGUAAGUUGUCAUCGGUGCAAGCAAAAAAAAUGCUCUCUAAUAUGUAUGAUCUAUUAGUGUGUGGAAAAUAAACUUUGUACGAACCUGUGAUGAGGAAGACAUAAAAGCGACAGACUACAUAAUAAAGUUCUUUAUCACACGAGGCAAUAUAAAGUGACGUUCUUCCGCACUAAGAGGACACGCAUCAAAACCUCAAAAGCACAUGACAACCUCUGCUUCCCUCUGCGAAGGGCCUAUCUUGUACCUUUACUUUUUGCCCUUGUAAGAGUCAUGAUGAUCUUCACCAAUUCCUUAUUUAGCCUAUUUCUUGGUCAACGCCAUAUGCUUGGGAAAGAUCUAUAUUCAUAUAUCAACUUGGAGCUGAGUACUUAUGCUUUAUUAUUGUUGACUUUACCCUUGAGGUAAAUGGUUGAGAGGCAAAAUUAUAAGCCCCUAUCUUUCUCUGUGUCCAACUAAAACUUUGAUAUCAUGAGUACCAUGUGAGUUGCAACAAUUGUAGGAAAACAAAAGAGAUGAAUUGAGUAGUGUAGGUAUUUGCUUUGCAAGUCUUACUUAUUUCGACUUCCUUUCUAGAUUGAUAUKAUARWAAUUAAAGUUGACUAAAUUUGUUACCUAGUCGUUAACGUUUUGGACCGUUUGUUUGGUUGGUCCUUAACGUUUCGUUUAGGGUUUAAACGGUUUUUUUCNNNNNNNNNNNNNNNNNNNNNNNNNNNNNNNNNNNNNNNNNNNNNNNNNNNNNNNNNNNNNNNNNNNNNNNNNNNNNNNNNNNNNNNNNNNNNNNNNNNNAAGAUAAGUGUGAGUGUCGUGGACGGUCAUUUCCGUAUGGAGACGGAAUGAUUCACGAUGGUGUAUUGUUGUGGUGUUAGUGGACUCGUGUGCGAGAGAUCAAGUUGUUAAAAUUAUUUAAGAAUGCAAGAUGUCUAGCCACGAGUCAAAUGUUGGCUUUCCGCAUGAAACCCCACCAUACCUUAUUGAUACAUUGCAUGAGUAGAUAGUUAUCCUAAUGUCUUGCUGAGUACCUCCUUACUCAUGUUUGCUUAAUAAAUGUUGCAGAGGUUGCUAAUGACCCUAAUGGUGGGUUCUUCAUAGACAUCGACGACGACGAGUAGCUGGUGUCCCAGCUACGAUCUGGCCCUAGGUUGGGUAUGUAGUAUAGUCAGGCCAUGUGCCUUCUAGUUGCACCUGUCUGUACUCAGACAAUUUUAAACACUUCCGCUGGCUUGUAACUGAAUGACUGCUAUUAUGGGUCGUGAGACCCUUACUGUGUAAUAUUAUGUGUGUGGCUCUUCCGAGCCUCUUAAAUAAAGCUUGUAUGUUUAUGGUUAUGUUGUGAUGCCAUCGAUGUAUCUAUACAUAUCGGUAUGCCAUACGUACGUGUGUCAUACUUGAUAUGUAUGGGGUUCGAUUACCUAGCCGUGAACUUUAGCAGCACUCCUUACAGGGAAAUGCCCCUUUGUGAUCCAACGAGCCAUGGUAGUUCGCUACUGCUCCGGACACAUUGGUUGACCCGCAUGUGUCCUUCCUAGCUGUUGUGUAUGUCCCCUUUGGGGAAAUGUCACGCGAUGUAAUGGAGUCCUUGUAGCUUGCUACGACUCGUCUACAUUCGCUGGUGACCGACACCUGCUUUGUUGGGUCAUGUAUGCAUGUCCCUGUGUGGUACUGCCACUUUGGUUUAUGACUAGACUUGUCGAUCCGGGUUCUUUGACAUUGGAAUGCUAGUGACACAAUUGCAUAUGUGAGUCAAAAGACGCAAACGGUCCUGGCUAAGGUAAGGUCGAGCCGUGGGGUUAACCGUGCAUGCGACCGCAAAGGGAUGCGAUGUGUUACAGGCUGGAUUCCUAUGGCUUAGGAUCGGGGUCANNNNNNNNNNNNNNNNNNNNNNNNNNNNNNNNNNNNNNNNNNNNNNNNNNNNNNNNNNNNNNNNNNNNNNNNNNNNNNNNNNNNNNNNNNNNNNNNNNNNUGUUCCAAACAGGGCCUAAACUUGAUUGUGCUAGAGCUUUUCUUGUUUCACACACAUCAUUUUCUGGCCUGUUUAUUGUGUUAYGUCAAUAUCAUCAAUAUUUAAUGUUUGGUGUUUAUUUUGCCGACUCUUACUACACGUUUGAACCGACAAGCUAAUCUGAAUAACAUGUUGGGGUGACUCGUACAUCAAUGAGAAUGCUUAAUGCAUCUUGACUCGCUUGUUGGUUCCAUUUCCAAGGUGGAAAGGGAAUUUGAAGAAAAUCGUGUACCAACGAGCCACUAAAACCCAAUUUACUUUGACAAACCUACCUUUUCUCAUAUAUAAGACCAAUAAGACUUGACCCUGUUGGAGUUUUUAUCGUGUAUAUGUACAUCAUGUUAGGUGUGUUUGUUGUACUACCACUAGUGGGGACAUGUCCUUUAGUCUCGGUUCACCAACCGGGACUAAAGGCCUAACCUUUAGUCCCGGCCCUGUUUCAAGCCGGGACCAAAGGUGCUCCACGUGGCCGCCUCGGAGGGAGUACCUUUAGUCCCGGUUCUACUUACGAACCGAGACUAAAGGAUCUGUCUUGUUUUUUUUUGUUUGACCCGAAAAGGUAGUAAUUUUUUUUUAAUUUUUUCAAAUUUUUAUUUUUGAAUUAUUUUUUAUGUUUUAUUUCCAAUUUUCUAAUCUUUGAAUUUAUUUGACAAUUCAAUCUCUAAUCAUCCAUCCUCACUGCUCUAGCGUAGAUCACUCAUUUCAAAUCGUCUAACUUUCCGGCCGAUCACCCAUCCUUUCACUACUUCAGCCCGAGCACGCUUAACUUUCCGGUUCUAUCGCCCCUAGUUGCCAAGUGUGCACUUGUUGUUUUCCUGACAAUAGUAAGCUAUCAAUCCUAAACAACUUGGGUCUUGAUGUCAUGUCACAUGUAUUUUAAUUUUUUGAAUUACAAACAAUUAAUUAAAAUAAACUUAAUAAGUAACAAAUAAUAGACGAAUUUACAAAUAGUAAAAACAACCUAAAUUAAUUUUUUAAAAUUAAAAUUUAUUUUUUACCUUUUUUUAGGUAAAAACUUUACUUUUUAGUAAAUUAAUUUUUUUUANNNNNNNNNNNNNNNNNNNNNNNNNNNNNNNNNNNNNNNNNNNNNNNNNNNNNNNNNNNNNNNNNNNNNNNNNNNNNNNNNNNNNNNNNNNNNNNNNNNNACACCACUCGUAUCAUUAUCAGAGGUGUAAUGACUAGCAUCAAGGAUUUGAACAUAAACUCUUCCACCAAGUAAUCCAACUAGCAUCAACUACAAAGAGUAAUCACCACUACUAGAAACCUUACAAGUACCAAUCGGAGUCGCGAGACGGAGAUUGGUUACAAGAGAUGAACUAGGGUUUGGAGAGCAGAUGGUGCUGAUGAAGAUGUUGAUGGAGAUGACUCCCCUCCGACGAGAGGAGUAUUGGUGAUGACGAUGGCGACGAUUUCCCCCUCCGGGAGGGAAGUUUCCCCGGCAGGAUCGUCCUACCGGAGCUCUAGAUUGGAUGUGCUCAAGUUCCGCCUCGUGGCGGCGGCGAAUCCACGAAAAAGCUCCACCCUGAUUUUUUCUCGGACGAAACCCUUCAUAUAGCAAAAGAAGGGGGCCAAUGGGCCACCAGGGUGCCCACAAGCCCUGUUGCCGCGACCGGGGGGGGGGGGUAGGGCCGCGGCAACCAGGCUUGUGGGCCCCUGGUUGCUCCCCUCUGACACUUCUUUCACCUAGUAUUUUUUAUAUAUUCCCAAAAAAAUCCACGUUGAUUUUCAGGUCAUUUGGAGUUGCGCAGAAUAGAGGACUCAGACUUGCUCCUUUUCUAGUCCAGAAUUCCAGCUGCCGGUAUUCUUCCUCUUCAAAUAAACCUUGCAAAAUAAGAGAGAAAAGGCAUAAGUAUGGUUCCACAAAGUAUAAUAACAGUCCAUAAAGCGAUAAAUAUCAACAUGAAAGCAUGAUGCAAAAUGGGCGUAUCAACUCCCCUAAGCUUAGACCUCGCUUGUCCUCAAGCGAAAACCAAGACCCAAAACAUGUCCACAUGUUUAGGGAUGAAGGUGUCGAUAAAACAUAAUACGGACAUGAGGGCAUCAUGAUCACACAUAGAACAGUAAUACAUCAUAGAGAUUCUUAUGGGAAAGUAACAAUUCCUUCACAAAGCAAAGUAUGGAACAAAAACCUUACCAAGAAGUAGCCAACAACAGUCCAAAGUCAUGGAACAAUUGCAAUUUAUCAUAUCAUCAGAAAGAGUCAAAUAAGAGCUUGCAAAGCAAAUCCACAUACUCAAUCAUCUCUUUUGUUUUCCACAAUUGUUGCAACUCACAUGGUACUCAUGAUAUCAAAGUUUUAGUUGGACACAGAGAAAGAUAGGGGCUUAUAAUUUUGCCUCUCAACCAUUUACCUCAAGGGUAAAGUCAACAAUAAUAAAGCAUAAGUACUCAGCUCCAAGUUGAUAUAUGAAUAUAGAUCUUUCCCAAGCAUAUGGCGUUGACCAAGAAAUAGGCUAAAUAAGGAAUUGGUGAAGAUCAUCAUGACUCUUACAAGGGCAAAAAGUAAAGGUAANNNNNNNNNNNNNNNNNNNNNNNNNNNNNNNNNNNNNNNNNNNNNNNNNNNNNNNNNNNNNNNNNNNNNNNNNNNNNNNNNNNNNNNNNNNNNNNNNNNNUCCAGGACCCGAGAUUUAGAACACAGUUCUUCACCAAUGAGCCAUGUAGAGKAGAUUAAGCAUCUGGGAACUGCAUCGUUUAUUAUGUUUAUUUCCGUGCAUUGUGUGAAGGAACAUGGCUCAUCUUCAGCCCGCUGUCGACGCGCCACGACGCCACUAGAGCCAAUUGCGAUGGCGGCUCAAAAGCUCGGCCGAGACGAGUAGGUCCCAACUUGGUCGGGCAAUUUAUAUUGUAUGAUCAACGCCCAUGGGUUUUUGGAUUUGAGAAUCCGCAUUUGAGGUACGUGGAUGUGCGGCUGUCAAUAAGAGGGACCGCGUCGGUGCUGUCCGUUGACGCUCCUGCAGUAGUAGUCGGGGACAGAUUUGCCUAAGGUCCGGUUGUAGAUUGCUUACUUAAAUUGUUUUUUACUUAUUUUCUUUUUUUCUUUUUWUUWUUUWUUUWUUKUUUYCKUUUUYMUUUKUUUMMUWUUMGUUUSYUAUUUAKUUUGKUUAKUGUUUACUAAAAGUUUCUACUUACUAUUACUAAAAUUGUACCUAAUUGUGUUAUUAACUAAAUUGUUACCUAUUACUUAAUAAUUAAAGUAAAAUUGUUACUAUAGGUUAAUUAAAUUAAAAAAAGUUACUAAAUUAUUAGUUAAUUUAAUUAAAAACUUUACUAAUACUUAANNNNNNNNNNNNNNNNNNNNNNNNNNNNNNNNNNNNNNNNNNNNNNNNNNNNNNNNNNNNNNNNNNNNNNNNNNNNNNNNNNNNNNNNNNNNNNNNNNNNUGCCUUGCUGGAGGGGACUUUAGAGUUGGAGGGCUUCUACAUCAACAUCAUCGCCCCCCCAAUKACUCGUGAGUAGUUCACUUCAGACCUACGGGUCCAUAGUUAGUAGCUAGAUGGCUUCUUCUAUCUCUUGGAUCUUCAAUACAAAGUUCUCCAUGAUCUUCAUGGAGAUCUAUCCGAUGUAAUCCUCUUUGGCGGUGUGUUUGUCGAGAUCCGAUGAAUUGUGGAUUUGUGAUCAGAUUAUCUAUGAUAUAUAUUUGAGUCUUUGUUGAUUUCUUAUAUGCAUGAUUUUAUAUCCUUGUAAGUCUCUCCGAGUCUUGGGUUUUGUUUGGCCAACUAGAUCUAUGAUUCUUGCAAUGGGAGAAGUGCUUGGUUUUGGGUUCAUACCAUGUGGUGACCUUUCCCAGUGACAGUAGGGGCUGCAAGGCACACAGGGGGAUAGUUGCCAUCAAGGAUAACAAGAUGGGCUUUGUCGUAGAUAUGACGAUUGUCCGUCUACAUCAUGUCAUCUUGCUUAAGGCGUUACUCUGUUCUUUUGGACUUAAUACACUAGAUGCAUGCUGGAUAGCGGUCGGCGUGUGGAGUAAUAGUAGUAGAUGCAGAAAGUAUCGGUCUACUUGUUUUGGACGUGAUGCCUAUAGAUAUAAUCAUUGCCUUAGAUGACGUCACGACUUUGCGCGGUUCUAUCAAUUGAUCGACAAUAAUUUGUUCACCCACUAUCUACUUGCUUUCAUGAGAGAAGCCACUAGUGAACACUACGGCCCUCGGGUCUAUUCACACCUAUCGUUUCCACUUUUGCUUUUACUUUGCUUUGUUACUUUGUUGCUUUCAGUUCUCACUUGGCAAACAAUCUAUAAGGGAUUGACAACCCCUUCAUAGCGUUGGGAGCAAGAUUUUUUUGUUUGUGCAGGUACUUGUGAUACUCCUUCACUGGAUCGAUACCUUGGUUCUCAAAUCCGAGGGAAAUACUUACCACCGCUGUGCUAAAUCACCCUUUCUGCUUCGAGGGAACACCAACGCAAGGCUCCAAGGCCACGGGGAAAUCCUUUGCAUAUUUGCCUAGGGAGUCCCUAAAGGCGUAGCCGUAGCAGAAGGAUUCCUGGUGCCGUUGCUGAGGAGUAUCAAGACAAGAACAGUCUCCCGUCAGCACGUGUUUCUGGCGCCGUUGGAAGGUCUUUUGUUGCAGUAGCACCUGCCGGAGAGGACUUUGGAGUUGGAGGGCUUCUACAUCAACAUCAUCGCCCCUCCAAUGAGUCGUGAGUAGUUCACUUCAGACCUACGGGUCCGUAGUUAGUAGCUAGAUGGUUUCUUCUCUCUCUUGGAUCUUCAAUACAAAGUUCUCCAUGAUCUUCAUGGAGAUCUAUCCGAUGUAAUCCUCUUUGGCAGUGUGAUUGUCGAGAUCCGAUGAAUUGUGGAUUUGUGAUCAUAUUAUCUAUGAUAUAUAUUUGAGUCUUUGCUGAUUUCUUAUAUGCAUGAUUUGAUAUCCUUGUAAGUCUCUCCGAGUCUUGGGUUUUGUUUGGCCAACUAGAUCUAUGAUUCUUGCAAUGGGAGAAGUGCUUGGUUUUGGGUUCAUACCGUGUGGUGACCUUUCCCAGUGACAGAAGGGGCAGCAAGGCACACAGGGGAUAGGNNNNNNNNNNNNNNNNNNNNNNNNNNNNNNNNNNNNNNNNNNNNNNNNNNNNNNNNNNNNNNNNNNNNNNNNNNNNNNNNNNNNNNNNNNNNNNNNNNNNCCUAUCCCCUGUGUGCCUUGCUGCCCCUACUAUCACUUGGAAAGGUCACCACAUGGUAUGAACCCAAAACCAAGCACUUCUCCCAUUGCAAGAAUCAUAGAUCUAGUUGGCCAAACAAAACCCAAGACUCGGAGAGACUUACAAGGAUAUCAAAUCAUGCAUAUAAGAAAUCAGCAAAGACUCAAAUAUAUAUCAUAGAUAAUCUGAUCACAAAUCCACAAUUCAUCGGAUCUCGACAAUCACACCGCCAAAGAGGAUUACAUCGGAUAGAUCUCCAUGAAGAUCAUGGAGAACUUUGUAUUGAAGAUCCAAGAGAGAGAAGAAGCCAUCUAGCUACUAACUACGAACCCGUAGGUGUGAAGUGAACUACUCACGAGUCAUUGGAGGGGCGAUGAUGUUGAUGUAGAAGCCCUCCAACUCCAAAGUCCCCUCCGGCAGGGCACCGGGAAGGGUCUCCAGAUGAGAUAUCGCAGAAACGGAACCUUGCGGCGGCGGAAAAGUGUUUUCGUGGAUUCCCUGWWUUUUUUUUCUGUAUUWUAAGGAAUAUAUAGGCGAAGGAGCUAGGUCAGGGGGGCGCCAGGGAGGCCACAAGCCUGCUAGCCGCCGCCCCCAGGUGGUGGCUACGAGGGCUUGUGGGCCCCUGUAGCUCUCGUGCUUGGCCCUCAACGCCCCUGACUCUUCUUCCGUUCGGGUAAAACUUUAGUUAACGGGUAUUUUAGUUUCCGGUUUAGGGUAACCUUUCCGUUUACCCGUAAAAGUUCCGUAACGGUAACCUUAACUUACGGUAAAAUUCGGUAAACGUAACCGAAAAAAAACGUACCUAAAACGAAAAAAAAACCCGUAAGGNNNNNNNNNNNNNNNNNNNNNNNNNNNNNNNNNNNNNNNNNNNNNNNNNNNNNNNNNNNNNNNNNNNNNNNNNNNNNNNNNNNNNNNNNNNNNNNNNNNNUAACACCAACAAAGURUCYYMAGCAAAAGGAAAGAAGAAGAAGAUGACUCCAAUGAAGAAGAAAUUAAGUGAACUGUGAACUCGUUUGUGCUGCCAUGAACUACUUUUGCUGCUGCUACACCAACAAAGUCUCCAGCAAAACGAAAGAAGAAGAAGAUGACUCCAAAGAAGAAGAAAUUAAGUGAACUAUGAACUAGUUUUGUCUAUUGAUGUACCCAUUUGUUAUUUAUCCAUUGACAAAUCUGUUAAACAUUGCAAAGGGGGGCAUCAGCUACAACCUGGUGAAAACUGGGGGUCAAAAGGGAGCCAGGCAAACAGGGGGGCUUAUGUUGUGGUGGCGCACGAACAGGGGGGUGAUAAUCAAUUCUCUCCUUCUUCUUUUCCUUCUUCUUCUUAUUUUUUUAUUCUCCUUUCUCCUUCUUAUUCUUCUCCUUUCUCCUUCUUCUUCUUCUCCUUUCUCCUUCUUCUUCUCCUCCUUUCUCCUUCUUCUUCUUCUCCUUUCUCCUUCUUCUUCUUCUCCUUUUCUCCUUUACUAAACAGGAAACUAACCUAACUAAACCUAAACUAAAAAUGAACCUAAACUAAACUAAUUUAACAACCUAACUAACUAGCCUAACUAACCUAAUAAACUAAAAAACUAACCUAACUAAUUUAACAUAAAUAAAAAUAAGGAAAAAACAAAAAAAUGGGGGACUCACCGGCGGGGCGGCGGGGCGUCGGGCUGCGAGGAGGACGGGUGCGACGGGGCAGUGGGGCGUCGUCGUCGGCAGUGCCGUGGUGGGGGGCAGUGGUGGCGGCGGGGCGGCUGUGGAGGCGACAGGGGUGACGAGGGGCGGCGGACGCGGACGGUGGUGACAACGGGCAGGCGGGGGCGAGGUGGGGAGAGAGAGGAGGGGCGGCGGGCGGGGGCGACGAGGGGCGGCGAGGUGGGGGCGACGAGGGGSCGGCGGCGGGGCGAAAAGGGCGGCGACGCGGGUNNNNNNNNNNNNNNNNNNNNNNNNNNNNNNNNNNNNNNNNNNNNNNNNNNNNNNNNNNNNNNNNNNNNNNNNNNNNNNNNNNNNNNNNNNNNNNNNNNNNGAAAGAAGAAGAAGAAUAAGAAGAGAAGAGAGAGAGGAGGAGGAGAGGAGAAGGCCAAGGACCUUCUAGUCCUUCUCCUCCUUCUACUCCUUCUUCUUGAUUUCUUCUUCUUSUCCUCCUCCUCCUCUUUCUUCUCCUCUUUCAUAUUAUCCUUGCUUUAAUUUCCCMAMCAAUGACAUAAUUAGCCCACUUUAGCUCCAAAAUAGCCAUAAUAAGCUCAAAAUGGCAGAAGAACCUUGGUUAGCUCAUGAAUUAUUAUAUACUUAGCUUGUUUUCCUCUAAAAUUAGGAUWAUUAGCCCAUUUAGCUCCAGAAAGACAUAAUUAGGUAAUUUAGCUCCAACAAGAGGAGAAGAGGAGAAGAAAUAGGACRAAAUAGUAAAGAAAGAAGAAGAAGAAGAAGAAGAAGAGGAGAAGAAGAAGAAGAGAAGAAGGAGAAGGAGGAGGAGGAGGAGGAGGAGAAGGCCAAGGACCUUCUAGUCCUUCUCCUCCUCCUCCUUCUCCUCCUUCUCGUCCUUCUUMUUGAUUUCUUCUUCUUCUCCUCCUCAUCCUCUUUCUUCUCCUAUUUCAUAUUAUCCUUGCUUUAAUUUCCCCAACAAUGACAUAAUUAGCCCAUUUAGCUCCAAAAUACCAUAAUAAGCUCAAAACGGCAUAAGAACUUUGGUUAGCUCAUGAAUAUUAUAUACUUAGCUUGUUUUCCUCUAAAAUGGGAUAAUUAGCCCAUUUAGCUCCAAAAAGACAUAAUUAGGUAAUUUAGCUCCAACAAGAGGAGAAGAGGAGAAGAAAUAGGCAAAAUGAAAAGAAAGAAAGAAGAAGAAGAAUAAGAAGAGAAGAAGGAGAAGGAGGAGGAGGAGAAGGAGAAGGCCAAGGACCUUCUAGUCCUUCUCCUCCUUCUCCUCCUUCUUCUUGAUUUCUUCUUCUUCUCCUCCUMCUCCUCUUUCUUAUCCUCUUUCAUAUUAUCCUUGCUUUAAUUUCCCCAACAAYGACRURRUGUACGAGUGGUGUNNNNNNNNNNNNNNNNNNNNNNNNNNNNNNNNNNNNNNNNNNNNNNNNNNNNNNNNNNNNNNNNNNNNNNNNNNNNNNNNNNNNNNNNNNNNNNNNNNNNUAGUUAGUAGCUAGAUGGUUUCUUCUCUCUCUUGGAUCUUYAAUACAAAGUUCUCCAUGAUCUUCAUGGAGAUCUAUCCGAUGUAAUCCUCUUUGGCAGUGUGAUUGUCGAGAUCCGAUGAAUUGUGGAUUUGUGAUCAUAUUAUCUAUGAUAUAUAUUUGAGUCUUUGCUGAUUUCUUAUAUGCAUGAUUUGAUAUCCUUGUAAGUCUCUCCGAGUCUUGGGUUUUGUUUGGCCAACUAGAUCUAUGAUUCUUGCAAUGGGAGAAGUGCUUGGUUUUGGGUUCAUACCGUGUGGUGACCUUUCCCAGUGACAGAAGGGGCAGCAAGGCACACAGGAUGKUGUUGCCAUCAAGGGUAACAAGAUGGGCUUUUAUCGUAGAUAUGAGAUUGUCCAUCUACAUCAUGUCAUCUUGCUUAAGGCGUUACUCUGUUCUCAUGAACUUAAUACACUAGAUGCAUGCUGGAUAGCGGUCGACGUGUGGAGUAAUAGUAGUAGAUUCUGCGCGGUUCUGUCAAUUGCUCGACAGUAAUUCGUUCACCCACUGUCUACUUGCUUUCAUGAGAGAAGCCACUAGUGAACACUAUGGCCACANNNNNNNNNNNNNNNNNNNNNNNNNNNNNNNNNNNNNNNNNNNNNNNNNNNNNNNNNNNNNNNNNNNNNNNNNNNNNNNNNNNNNNNNNNNNNNNNNNNNUCCCUAAAGGCGUAGCCGUAGCAGAAGGAUUCCUGGUGCCGUUGCUGAGGAGUAUCAAGACAAGAACAGUCUCCCGUCAGCACGUGUUUCUGGCGCCGUUGGAAGGYYUUUGUUGCAGUAGCACCUGCCGGAGAGGACUUUGGAGUUGGAGGGCUUCUACAUCAACAUCAUCGCCCCUCCAAUGAGUCGUGAGUAGUUCACUUCAGACCUACGGGUCCGUAGUUAGUAGCUAGAUGGUUUCUUCUCUCUCUUGGAUCUUCAAUACAAAGUUCUCCAUGAUCUUCAUGGAGAUCUAUCCGAUGUAAUCCUCUUUGGCAGUGUGAUUGUCGAGAUCCGAUGAAUUGUGGAUUUGUGAUCAUAUUAUCUAUGAUAUAUAUUUGAGUCUUUGCUGAUUUCUUAUAUGCAUGUAUUUGAUACUCCUUAGUAAGUCUCUCCGAGUUCGUUUGGGUUUUGUUGGACCUAACUAGUAUCUAUGUAUUCUUGACAAGUGGGAGAAGUGUCGUUUGGUUUGGUUCAUACCGUGUGGUCGUACCUUUCCAGUGACGAGGAGGGCAGACAAGGCACGACGANNNNNNNNNNNNNNNNNNNNNNNNNNNNNNNNNNNNNNNNNNNNNNNNNNNNNNNNNNNNNNNNNNNNNNNNNNNNNNNNNNNNNNNNNNNNNNNNNNNNGACGAUGAUCUCGGCCUUCUUGAUCCAGCAAGAGAGACAGAGAGGUAGAUGAGUUCUCCGGCAGCGUGACGGCGCUCCGGAGGUUGGUGGUGAUCUAAUCUCAGCAGGGCUCCGCCCGAGCUCCGCAGAAACGCGAUCUAGAGGUAAAACCGUGGAGGUAUGUGGUCGGGCUGCCGUGGCAAAGUUGUCUCAAAUCAGCCCUAAAACCUCCGUAUAUAUAGGGGGAAGAGGGGGGGGCCUUGCCUUGGGGCUCAAGGGGCCCCAAGGGGGUCGGCCGANNNNNNNNNNACAUAUAUAGGGGGAAGAGGGGGGGCCUUGCCUUGGGGCUCAAGGGGCCCCAAGGGGGUCGGCCGAGCCAAGGGGGUGAGUCCUCCCCUUCCAAACCGAAUCCAACUAGGUUUGGAAGGAGGAGUCCUUCCCCCUUUUCCCACCUCCUCUUUUUUUUCUCUUUGAUUUUCUUCCUGUGGCGCAUAGAGCCUUCUUGGGCUGUCCCACCAGCCCACUAAGGGCUGGUGCGCCACCCCCAAGUCCUAUGGGCUUCCCCGGGGUGGGUUGGCCCCUCCCGGUGAACACCCGGAACCCAUUCGUCAUUCCCGGUACAUUCCCGGUAACUCCGAAAACCUUUCCGGUAAUCAAAUGAGGUCAUCCUAUAUAUCAAUCUUCGUUCCGGACCAUUCCGGAAACCCUGGUGACGUCCGUGAUCUCAUCCGGGACUCCAAACAACAUUCGGUAACCAACCAUAUAACUCAAAUACGCAUAAAACAACGUCGAACCUUAANNNNNNNNNNAUUUCCGGACCAUUCCGGAAACCCUCGUGACGUCCAUGAUCUCAUCCAGGACUCCGAACAACAUUCCAUAACCAACCAUAUAACUCAAAUACGCAUAAAACAACGUCGAACCUUAAGUGUGCAGACCCUGCGGGUUCGAGAACUAUGUAGACAUGACCCAAGUGACUCCUUGGUCAAUAUCCAAUAGAGGGACCUGGAUGCCCAUAUUGGAUCCUACAUAUUCUACGAAGAUCUUAUCGUUUGAACAUCAGUGCCAAGGAUUCAUAUAAUCCCGUAUGUCAUUCCCUUUGUCCUNNNNNNNNNNNNNNNNNNNNNNNNNNNNNNNNNNNNNNNNNNNNNNNNNNNNNNNNNNNNNNNNNNNNNNNNNNNNNNNNNNNNNNNNNNNNNNNNNNNNCGGUGAUGCAGCACAGGAGAAGUAAAUAUGUCCCUUAGUUUGAGAACCAAGGUAUCGAUCCAGAAGGAGGGUCUCGUCAAGUCCAGAGUACCUGCGCAAACAUAAACAAGCUUGCACCCAACGCUUCAAAGGGGUUGUCAAUCCCUUCAAGAUUGUUUGCAAAGUGAGAUCUGAAGGCAGAAAGUGCAACGAAGUAAAAAGUGUAAGGCUGAAAAUAUGGUGUGGAGUAGACCCUCGGGGCCAUAGUAUUCACUAGAGGCUCCUCUCAAAAUAGCAAGUAUUACGGUGGGUGAACAAAUUACUGUCGAGCAAUUGAUAGAACCGCGCAAAGUCAUGACUAUAUCUAAGGCAAUGAUCAUACAUAUAGGCAUCACGUCCGAGACAAGUAGACCGAUACUUUCUGCAUCUACUACUAUUACUCCACACAUCGACCGCUAUCCAGCUUGCAUCUAGUGUAUUGAGUUCAUGAAGAAGAGAGUAACGCUUUAAACAAGAUGACAUGAUGUAGAGGGACAAUCUCAAACCACUGAUGAGAACCCCAUCUUUUUACCCUUGAUGGCAACAACACGAUACGUGCCUCGCUACCCCUUCUGUCACUGGAUGAGGUCACCACACGGUAUGAACCCAAAACCAAGCACUUCUCCCAUUGCANNNNNNNNNNGCAAGAUGACAUGAUGUAGAGGGAUAAUCUCAAACCACUGAUGAAAACCCCAUCUUUUUACCCUUGAUGGAAACAAUACGAUACGUGCCUCGCUACCCCUUCUGUCACUGGGUGAGGUCACCGCACGGUAUUAACCCAAAACCAAGCAGUUCUCCCAUUGCAAGAAUCAUAAAUCUAGUUGGCCAGACAAAACCCACAACUCGAAGAGAAUUACAAGGAUNNNNNNNNNNGAUAGAGUAACGCUUUAAGCAAGAUGACAUGAUGUAGAGAGACAAUCUCAAACCAAUGAUGAAAACCCCAUAUUUUUACCCUUGAUGGCAACAACACGAUACGUGCCUUGCUACCCCUUCUGUCACUGGGUGAGGUCACCGCACGGUAUGAACCCAAAACCAAGCACUUUUCCCAUUGCAAGAAUCAUAGAUCUAGUUGGCCAGACAAAACCCACAACUCGAAGAGAAUUACAAGGAUAUGAAAUCAUGCAUAAGAGAGAUCAGAAGAAACUCAAAUAAGAUUCAUAGAUAAUCUGAUCAUAAAUCCACAAUUCAUCGGAUCUCGACAAACACACCGCAAAAGUAGAUUACAUCGGAUAGAUCUCCAUGAAGAUCAUGGAGAACUUUGUAUUGNNNNNNNNNNNNNNNNNNNNNNNNNNNNNNNNNNNNNNNNNNNNNNNNNNNNNNNNNNNNNNNNNNNNNNNNNNNNNNNNNNNNNNNNNNNNNNNNNNNNGCUAUGCUCCAUCAUCCUCACACAACUAAUGUAAAUCAUGCACAACCCCGGAAUUAGCCAAGUAAUUGUUUUCGCACUCUUACUUCUCAAACUUUUUAUACCUAUCACGCAAUACAUGAGCGCGAGACAUGGAUAUAGCACUAUAGGUGGAAUAGAGUGUGGUUGUGGUUGCGAGACGAAAAGGGAGGAGAUGGUCACAUUGACUCGGCGUAUCAAUAGGCUAUGGAGAUGCCCAUUAAUAGAUAUCAAUGUGAAUGAGUAGGGAUUGCCAUACAAGAGAUGCACUAGAGCUAUAGGUAUAUGAAAGCUCAAAAGGAAAACUAGUGGGUGUGCAUCCAACUUGCUUUCUCACGAAGACCUAGGGCAAUUUUGAGGAAGCCCAUAAUUGGAAUAUAUAAGCCAAGUUAUAAAACGAAGAUUCCCACUAGAAUAUGGUAGUGACAAGGCAAGAAGCUCUCAAUCAUGAAGAACAUGGUGCUAUUAUGAAGCAGAAGUGUGGAAAAAGAUAGUAGCAUUGUCCCUUCUCUCUUUUUCUCUCCCUUUUUUUAUUUGGGCUCUUAGGCCUCUUUUUUUAUUUUCUUUUCUUUUCUCUUUCUUUGUUUUUGGGCUCUUUGGACUCUUUUUUUAUUUCCUCACAUGGGACAAUGCUAUAAUAAUGAUGAUCAUCACACUUUUAUUUAUUCACAGCUCGAAGAUCACAAUGAUGAUGACUCCAUAGGAAAUGCCUCCGGCAGUGUACCGGGAUGUGCAACGAUCUAGUAUGAUCAUGCAAUGGCAAUAUGAGAGUGAUGGCACAAGUCAUGAGACGGAACGGUGGUAGUUGCAUGGCAAUAUAUCUCGGAAUGGCUAUGAAAAUGCCAUAGUAGGUAGGUAUGGUGGCUGUCUUGAGGAAGGAAUUUUGUGGGUUUGCGCACCGGCGAGAAUUGCGCGGCACUAGAGAGGCUAGCUAUGGUGGAAGGUGAAAGUGCAUCUAUACCAUGGACUCAACAUUAGUCAUAAAGAACUCACAUACUUGUUGCAAAAGUUUUUAAUAGUAAUUGAAACAAAGUGCUAAAUGCAUGCUCCGAGGGGAAGGGUUGGUAGGUGUAAACCAUCGCACGAUCCCGACCUCAACACAAAGGAUGACAAUCAAUAGAUCAAUUAUGCUCGGACUUCCUAACAUAGCGGUUCACCAUACGUGCAUGCUACGGGAAUCACUAACUUCAACAAAAGUAUUUCUAGAUUCACAACACCCUACUAACAUAGCUUUUAAUAUUACCGAAUCCAUGUCUCAAAACUAAUUGAGAGGAAUCGAAACUUCUCUUUCUACUCAAUGCACAUGAAGAUGGAGCUUUUUGCAUCCUCUUUGGGUACCUAGCACAUGGGAAUACUUUCAUAGCAUAAGGCAACUACAAAAUCACGCACCUACGUGCUCUAAAGAUAUAAGUGAAGCACAUGAGCAGAAGUAUCUAGCUCAAAAGAUAUAAGUGAAGCACAUGAGCAAAAGUAUCUAGCUGAAAAGAUAUAAGUGAAGCUCAUUGAGCAUUCUAGCAAAAUCACGAUGAGUGCAUGUCUCUCUCUCUNNNNNNNNNNNNNNNNNNNNNNNNNNNNNNNNNNNNNNNNNNNNNNNNNNNNNNNNNNNNNNNNNNNNNNNNNNNNNNNNNNNNNNNNNNNNNNNNNNNNNNNNNNNUGGAUUGAAGACGAAAGAGGGGAUGCCUUCCCGGGGCAUCCCCAAGAUUAGGCUUUUUGGUGUCCUUGAAUUUGGCUUGGGGUGCCUUGGGCAUCCACAAGCUUGAGCUCUUUCCACUCCUUAUCUCUUUGUCCAUGAGAACAACACCCAAAACUUGAAAACCUCACGACACAAAACUUAAACAGAAACUUGUGAUAACAUUAGUACAAGAAAACAAACUACCACUUCUUUUGNNNNNNNNNNCCAAGCACGAGCUCUUUCAACUCCUUAUCUCUUUGUCCAUGAGAACAUCACCCAAAACUUGAAAACUUCACAACACAAAACUUAAUCAAAAACUUGUGAUAACAUUAGUACAAGAAAACAAACUACCACUUCUUUUGGUACUGUAGCAAACUUGAAUUCUAUAUAUAUUGAUAAUGGGCUACUGUAUUCUCACUUUUCCAUGGCUAGUACCCCCCGAUACUAACCAUAGUUUCAUCAAAACAAGCAACCAACUCAACAAAAACAGAAUUUGUCAAAAUCAGACCAAUCUGUAGCAAUCUGUAUACUUCGUAUACUUCUGGUACCUCAAAAAAUCUGAAACAUUACGAAGGUCUGGGAAAAAGUCAUAUCAAUCAUGAUAAAAAAGAAUCAACUCAAAAUAUCUUUCUGAAUAAAAAUGAAAAAUCAUCUCGUGAGCGAAAUGUUUCUGUCUUUUUCCAGCAGGAUCAAACAACCAUUACGAAGACUAGUCAUAAAGGUUUUGCUUGGCUCAAACACAAAAAGAAACACUCAAACACAAAAAGAAACACAAAAAACACAAUCACAACAGAAUUAUGAAAGUGUGGACGCAACAAAACAGAAAUAAAAAGAUAANNNNNNNNNNNNNNNNNNNNNNNNNNNNNNNNNNNNNNNNNNNNNNNNNNNNNNNNNNNNNNNNNNNNNNNNNNNNNNNNNNNNNNNNNNNNNNNNNNNNCAAUCUUAUUUUCUUUCUAGGAAAGUGUUCCAUGCCCUUAUUUAAAGGAAAUUGAAAUCUAAUAUCCUCUUCCUUCAUAUCGAUGAUAGCACCAAUAGUCCUUAGAAAAGGUCUACCAAGAAUAAUAGGGCAUGUAGGAUUGCAAUCAAUGUCAAGCACAAUGAAAUCCACGGGUACAUAGUUCCUAUUUGCAAUAACAAGAACAUCAUUGAUCCUUCCCAUAGGUUUCUUGACAGUAGAAUCAGCAAGAUGCAAAUUAAGAGAACACUCUUCAAUCUCAUUAAAACCCAAAACAUCACAUAAAGAUUUUGGAAUCGCAGAAACACUAGCAUCCAAAUCACACAAAGCAUUACACUCAUAGUUUUUUAUUUUGAUUUUGAUGGUAGGUUCCCACUCAUCAUGAAUCUUUCUAGGGAUAGAUACUUCCAAUUCAAGUUUCCCUUCAAGAGCUUUUAUCAUAGCUUCGACGNNNNNNNNNNGAACAUCACAUAAAGACUUUGGAAUCGCAGAAACACUAGCAUCCAGAUAACACAAAUCAUUGCACUCAUAGUUUUUGAUUUUGAUUUUGAUGGUAGGUUCCCAAUCAUCAUGAAUCUUUCUAGGGAUAGAGACUUCCAAUUCAAGUUUCCCUUCAAGAGCUUUUAUCAUAGCUUCGACGAUAUGAUCGGUAAAAGCUUUGUUUUGGCUACAGGCGUGCAGAGAGUUCAACAUGGAUUGCAUCAAAGAAAUGAAUUCAAUCGAGGAGGAACUAUCAUAAUUGAAUUCCUUGAAAUCCACGGUAGUAAUUUCAUUACUACUCAAAGUUUUAACGUCUUCUACUCCAGUNNNNNNNNNNGAGCUUUGUUUUGGCUAUAGGCGUGCAGAGAGUUCAACAUGGAUUGCAUCGAAGAAAUGCAUUCAAUCAAGGAGAAACUAUCAUAAUUGAAUUCCUUGAAAUCCAUGGUAGUAAUUUCAUUACUACUCAAAGUUUUAACGUCUUCUACUCCAGUUUUAAUGCUUUUACCAUCAAGAUAGAUGGACUCCGAAUCAUAGGGGCACUUUUCAACCAAAGUGGAUUCAUAUCCAGCCCCAUAAUCAUUAGGUUUGACACAAGAAAACAAAGAUUCAAUAGGAUUCACACCAAGCACUUUAUGAUCUUCGUGAUUCUCAUCACGAGAACACGCCUUUUUAAGCCAUUCAUGUCUAGCACGAAUUUGGGCGGUUCUUUCUUGGAUCUCAAUCAUGGAAACACGCAUAGCUUUCAAAGUUUCAUCCAUGUUGAAUUUGGGAGGAGCACAUCUAACUUUCAAAGCAUCAACAUCACAAGAAAUCCUAUCCACGCUCUUAGCCAAAUCAUCAAUUUUGAGUAGUUUUUCCUCUAUGGACGCAUUGAAAAUCUUUUGAGAGUUGAUGAACUCUUUGAUAUUACUCUCUAGAUCAGAGGGUAAUCUAUUGUAAUUUCCAUGAGUAUUGUUGUAGGAGUUGCCAAAAUUAUUAGAGGAGUUACUAGGAAAAGACCUAGGAACAUAGUUUUCUCUAAAAGCAUUGUUGUUGCCAAAAUUAUUCCUACCAACAAAAUUAACGUCCAAGCUAGUGUUGCUAAUAUCAAUCAAAGAAGACAAAGUCAUAUCAUUAGGAUCCAAAGGAGCACUUCUACUAGCAACCAAAUUCAUUAACUCAUCCAUCGUAGCACUCAACGAGUUAAUUUCUUCUAUAACGUGUACCUUCUUACUAGUAGGUGACCUUUUAGUGUGCCAUUGAGAGUAGUUUGUCAUGAUGUUGUCUAAGAGCUUUGUGGCUUCUCCUAACGUGAUUUCCAUGAAUGUUCCACCUCAGGCGGGGUCCAAGAUAUUUCUAGAAGCGAAAUUCAAGCCAGUGUAAAAGAUUUGAAUAAUCAUCCAAAGGUUUAAGCCAUGAGCGGGACAAUUUAUAAUCAUUAAUUUCAUUCUCUCCCAAGCUUGUGCAACAUGCUCAUGAUCAUGUUGCUUGAAAUUCAUGAUAUCAUUACGGAGAGAGAUGAUCGUAGCCGGCGGAAAAUACUUGGAUAUAUAAGCAUCUUUGCACUUAUCACAAGAAUCGAUACUAUUUUUGGGCAAAGAAGAAAACCAAGUUUUUACGCGAUUUCGCAACCAGAAAGGAAAAAGCUUCAAUUUAAUCACGUCAUUAUCCACAUCUUUUUUCUUUUGCAUAUUGCAAAGCUCAAUGAAGGUAUUGAGAUGGGAUGCGACAUCUUCACUAGGAAGGCCAGAGAAUUGUUCUUUCAUAACAAGAUUCAGCAAAGCGGCAUUGAUUUCGUAUGACUCCACACUUGUGGCGGGAGCAAUCGGAGUACUAAUAAAAUCAUUAUUAUUAGUAUUCGAGAAGUCACAAAGUUUUGUGUUUUCGUUCAUGGUGACUUCAGCAAGCAAGCAAGCACACAAGCAAACAAAAAGCCGGCGAGAAAAAGGGCGAACGAAAAAGGCAAAUUGGUGAAGUGGGGGAGAGGAAAACGAGAGGCAACUGGCAAACAAAGUAAAUGCAAGAGAUAAGUUUGCGACACUUACUUGGAUGAGUUCUUGACUUGAUCUUCCUCCCCGACAACAGCGCCAGAAAUCCUUCUACUACUUUUCAAACAACAGCGCCAGAAAUUGACACGUUGACGGAGAUUGGGCUUGCGUUGGUUUUUCCCUUGAAGAGGAAAGGGUGAUGCAACACAGGAGAAGUAAAUAUGUCCCUCAGUUUGAGAACCAAGGUAUCGAUCCAGAAGGAGGGUCUCAUCAAGUCCAGAGUACCUGCGCAAACAUAAACAAGCUUGCACCCAACGCUUCAAAGGGGUUGUCAUUCCCUUGAAGAUUGUUUGCAAAGUGAGAUCUGAAGGCGGAAAGUGCAACGAAGUANNNNNNNNNNNNNNNNNNNNNNNNNNNNNNNNNNNNNNNNNNNNNNNNNNNNNNNNNNNNNNNNNNNNNNNNNNNNNNNNNNNNNNNNNNNNNNNNNNNNCAUUGUUGUUUAUGUAUCCACACAUGUAUAUGAGUUUCCGGUCAAUACAAUUCUAGCAUGGAUAAUAAAUGAUUAUCAUAAACAAGGAAAUAUAAUAAUAACCAAUUUAUUAUUGACUCUAGGGUAUAUUUCCAACACAUGGAGCCCAGCGACUCCGUCACCGCGUCAGCGGACUCCAUCCCACCCUGACAUGGAUCCCAGCGCGCGUCCGCGACCGCGUCAGCCGACUCCACCCCGCGGCCUCGAGAUGGAGCCCAGCGCGCGUACGCGGUCAUUUCUUUUUUUGAUGAGGAACCGGAGUCCAAAGCGAAAGAGAGCUUAUUAUGAACAAGUAAAUAUGAUAAUAAUCAAUUUAUUAUUGCCUCCAAGACAUAUUUCUAUAGCUUGUGUUGACAUGGUUUUUGACCAAAAAUAAAAUAAGUGCGCAUACUAAACUAAAAGUUAAAUAAAUUCAAAACGACAAAAAUCCGCUUUGUAUUGGAAAGAAACAAUUUAAAAAUAAUAAAAUAAACCGCUCGUAAAAUAAAUCAAUAAUGAUAUUAUAUAUUCCCGGAUGUUGAUAUUGCACACACUGAAAAAGAGCCGAUUAUAAGUAUGACGAAACAAGGAAUACUCAUCAAGUUUCUGUCCUAAGGAAAUUACAAAGGAGAGAGAACUAAUCAGGCCUAGCCCAAGAUGGUUACGUGCAUGCGUAUGCGUUGCCUCAUCCAUAGAAAAACCCUAUUUGACGUUUUUUGCGUCAUUUUUUUUAGACAAUCUCGCAAAGCUUUUAUUCAACCGUCACAAGGUUUNNNNNNNNNNNNNNNNNNNNNNNNNNNNNNNNNNNNNNNNNNNNNNNNNNNNNNNNNNNNNNNNNNNNNNNNNNNNNNNNNNNNNNNNNNNNNNNNNNNNUCGGUAACAUUACUUGGAGCUAUAUUUUUAUUCACCACAUGAUAUGUGCUUUGCUUGGAGCAUCUUGUAUCAUAGGAGUCUUUUCUUUCUGUUGUGUGACAAUCAUCCUUGUGCACACCUUUUUGAGAGAGAGAGACAUGCACUCAUCGUGAUUUUGCUAGAAUGCUCAAUGANNNNNNNNNNNNNNNNNNNNNNNNNNNNNNNNNNNNNNNNNNNNNNNNNNNNNNNNNNNNNNNNNNNNNNNNNNNNNNNNNNNNNNNNNNNNNNNNNNNNNNNNNNNNNNNNNNNNNNNNNNNNNNNNNNNNNNNNNNNNNNNNNNNNNNNNNNNNNNNNNNNNNNNNNNNNNNUUGCUCAUGUGCUUCACUUAUAUCUUUAGAGCACGGAGGUGCGUGAUUUGGUAGUUGCCUUAUGCAAUGAAAGUAGUCCCAUGUGCUAGGUACCCAAAGAGGAUGCAAAAAGCUCCAUCUUCAUNNNNNNNNNNNNNNNNNNNNNNNNNNNNNNNNNNNNNNNNNNNNNNNNNNNNNNNNNNNNNNNNNNNNNNNNNNNNNNNNNNNNNNNNNNNNNNNNNNNNNNNNNNNNNNNNNNNNNNNNNNNNNNNNNNNNNNNNNNNNNNNNNNNNNNNNNNNNNNNNNNNNNNNNNNNNNNNNNNNNNNNNAUGUUGUGAAUCUAGAAAUACUUGUGUUGAAGUUAGUGAUUCCCGUAGCAUGCAUGUAUGGUGAACCGCUAUGUUAGGAAGUCCGAGCAUAAUUGAUCUGUUGAUUGUCAUCCUUUGUGUUAAGGUCGGGAUCGCGCGAUGGUUUACACCUACCAACCCUUCCCCUCGGAGCAUGCGUUUAGCACUUUGUUUCGAUUACUAUUGAAAAGUUUUGCAACAAGUAUGUGAGUUAUUUAUGACUAAUGUUGAGUCCAUGGUAUAGAUGCACUUUCACCUUCCANNNNNNNNNNNNNNNNNNNNNNNNNNNNNNNNNNNNNNNNNNNNNNNNNNNNNNNNNNNNNNNNNNNNNNNNNNNNNNNNNNNNNNNNNNNNNNNNNNNNAGUAACAAAGCAAAGUAAAAGCAAAAGUGGAAACGAUAGGUGUGAAUAGACCCGAGGGCCGUAGUGUUCACUAGUGGCUUCUCUCAUGAAAGCAAGUAGAUAGUGGGUGAACAAAUUAUUGUCGAUCAAUUGAUAGAACCGCGCAAAGUCGUGACGUCAUCUAAGGCAAUGAUUAUAUCUAUAGGCAUCACGUCCAAAACAAGUAGACCGAUACUUUCUGCAUCUACUACUAUUACUCCACACGUCGACCGCUAUCCAACAUGCAUCUAGUGUAUUAAGUCCAAAAGAACAGAGUAACGCCUUAAGCAAGAUGACAUGAUGUAGAUGGACAAUCUCAUAUCCACGACAAAGCCCAUCUUGCUACCCUAGAUGGCAACUACACGAUGUGUGCCUUGCUGCCCCUACUAUCACUUGGAAAGGUCACCACAUGGUAUGAACCCAAAACCAAGCACUUCUCCCAUUGCAAGAAUCAUAGAUCUAGUUGGCCAAACAAAACCCAAGACUCGGAGAGACUUACAAGGAUAUCAAAUCAUGCAUAUAAGAAAUCAGCAAAGACUCAAAUAUAUAUCAUAGAUAAUCUGAUCACAAAUCCACAAUUCAUCGGAUCUCGACAAUCACACCGCCAAAGAGGAUUACAUCGGAUAGAUCUCCAUGAAGAUCAUGGAGAACUUUGUAUUGAAGAUCCAANNNNNNNNNNNNNNNNNNNNNNNNNNNNNNNNNNNNNNNNNNNNNNNNNNNNNNNNNNNNNNNNNNNNNNNNNNNNNNNNNNNNNNNNNNNNNNNNNNNNGACUCGUAGUACGUGCAUAUAACUUGCAAGAUCGGAUCAAGAACAUAGAUAUAAUGGUGAAAACAUAAAUGGUUCAGAUCUGAAAUCAUGGCACUCGGGCCCUAGUGACAAGCAUUAAGCAUAGCAAAGUCCUAGCAACAUCUAUCUCCGAACAUAGUGAACACUAGGGAUCAAGCCCUAACAAACUAACUCGAUUACAUGAUGAAUCUCAUCAGCUCUUCACCGACCAGCAAGCCUAUGAAGGUACUACUCACUCUCGAUGGAGAGCAUCAUGUAAUUGGCGAUGGAGGAGGGUUGGUGAUGACGAAGGCCGAAGAUUCCCCUCUCCGGAGCCCCAAACAGACUCCAGAUUAGGCCUCCUGAUGAAGAAAAUGAGGUGGCGGCGGAUCCAUAUCGUGAAACAUGAUGAAACUUUUCUCUGAUUUUUGUCCUUCAAAAAUAGGAAUUUAUAGCACUGGAAUUAGGGUCAGCGGAGCCACGUGGGCCCCACUAGACACCUGGUCAUGUCACGGCGGCCUAGCGCACUGUGAUGUCUAGUGGGCGCGUGUGGCCUCCCCUCCGGUGGAUCUUGGUUCUAGUAUUUUUUAUAUAUUCCAGAAAAAAUCUCCAAAAAGUUUUAUUCGAUUCCAAGAACUUUUAUUUCUGCACAAAAACGACACCAUGGUAGUUCUUCUGAAAACAGUGUGAGUCCGGGUUAGUUUCAUUCAAAUCAUGCAAAUUAGAGUCCAAAACAAGAGCAAAAGCGUUAGGAAAAGUCGAUACGAUGGAGACGUAUCAACUCCCCCAAGCUUAACCCAUUGCUUGUCCUCAAGCAAUUCAGUUGACAAACUGAAAGUGAUAAAUAAAAACUUUUACGAACUCUUUUGUUCUUGUUUACAUAUACAUGCUUUGAGAGCACCCAGGUUUUCAGCACAAAUCAUAACUAAUCAUAUCGAUAAUAACCCUUAGAAGUUAUAUUAGCUCAUAUCAAUGUUAUAAUCAACCAGCAAGCAAUAAUAAGAUAUCUCAAACAUCUACAAUUUGUCAAAACAAUCAUGAUAUAAUAUGACUAUAAUGGUAUCUCGCUAUCCCUUUCUAAGACCGCAAAACAUACAUCCAGGACACCUCCAAAGUUCAAGCAGCGACUAGACAUUGUAAUUCUUGGUAAAAGAGAUCCGUUCAUACUGCAAACAAUUAUUAACUAGACAUAAAGCAUGAGGAUGACACCAGUGCUCUUGGGUCUGGUACUUAUUUGAAAAGGUGAUGACUCAAAGUAAAAACAAAAUAACAUGAAAGUAAAUAGAAAGUCCCUUCAUAGAGGGAAGCAUGGAUUUGCAAAGGUGCGAGAGCUCAUAGUGAAAGUAAGAUAUAAAUUAUUUUUGGGAGGUGCACCCUUCGUGUCAACGUUAUGACCAAAAGUUAUCGAUAUCUUCCAUAAUAAAGAAAUUAGGGACGGUUCCCAAGCGGUAAAGUAAAGGUUUACCCCCCCCCCCCCCCCCCCNNNNNNNNNNNNNNNNNNNNNNNNNUUCCCCCCCCCCCCCCCCUCCACCAAUCAAGCACACUCCAAGGCUAGCCUAAUCCAUGGGUGUCGUCCAUAAGAACAACAAUCCAGGGGUUUUGUUUAAUUAUUUGCGAUUUAUGAUUCGGGAUUGGGAGUCCCUUUUUUGCCUGCCCCUCUUGUUCAAGGACAAUGAAUAAACACGUAUCAUGAUAAUAAUCCUCCUAGCAUGGAAGAUACAAACCACCUUCUAUCGCUCCGUGAGCAGAUGAGGCACACAAAACAAAAGUUCAUUUGAAAUAUUAGAGGUGGCACAUGCACAUUUACUUGGAACGUGAGGGUAAUACCGCAUAUAGGUAGGUAUAGUGGACUCAUCUGGAAUAACUUUGUUUCAAGGAUUUUGAUGCACAAGUAGUAUUCACGCUUAGUACAGGCGAAGGCUAGCAAAUAGGUUGGGAAGCGACCAGCUAGAGAGCGAAGACGGUCAUGAACAUGCUUUAUGAAUAAUCAUCGUUGCAUACUAGCAUGAGUAGGAUAUAAACACCAUGAACAUAAAUAUCGUGGAGGCUAUGUUGGUUUUGAUUCAACUACAUGCGUGAACAUGUGCCAAGUCAAGCCACUCAAAUUAUUCAGAGGAGGAUACCAUAUCAUCAGACUACAUCACAACCAUUUCAAUGCAUGUUGACCUCCAAGAUAAAUCAUUAUCCACUCCUAGCUACUUAAGCAUGACAUGAACAACUAUAAUCUCUAAUUGUCAUUACGAACAUGUUUGAUCAUAAUACGUCGAAUCAUGGAUACUCGUCUAAACAUAUUUACAAAAACAAAAACAAGUUGAGUUCAUACCCGCUUCUCUUUGCCACAGUCACUUCAUCAAAUAUCAUCAUUAUUGCCCUUCACUUGCACGACCGAACGAUAUAAAAAUAAUAAUAGUGCAAGAGUGCCAUGGACUAAGCUGGAAUCUGCAACAUUUUAUUCAACCGGAGAAGAUAAAGUAAUAGGGCUCUUCAUUAGAUCAAUAACAAUGCAUAUGAGAGCCACUCAAUAUUUUCAUCAUGGUCUUCCGCUUGGGUAAAACUCAAAGAAGGGAAAAGAAAUUCAUAGAAACACACUAAAAUAUUUUUGGAGUUUUUAGUUUUUCAAGAAGAAAGCAAAAGAAGGGAAAACUAAAAAGAGAAAAAUAUUUAUACGGGAAAGCUCCCAACAAGUAAGAGAGAAUAAAAGAGAAAUCUUUUUGGGUUUUAUUUUAAUACUACAACUAAAUUACGCUAGGAAGAAAACCCAAAAAAAAGUGAGAAAUAUUUUUAGAUUUUCUGCAAGUUUUUCAAACACACAAGAAGAAGGCGAGAGAACAAAUCUAACAAGGAUAGUACCAUGCAAGCGUGUGAACACCGACAACAAGAAUAUACAAUCAUGAAUGUAAAGUCAGUGGAAACACGUAUUCUCCCAAGCUUAGGCUUUUGGCCUAGCUUGGUAAUCACCAUUCGUGGUAGCCUGGGUAAUAGUUAGUGUGGUAACUCAUUGAAAUCCUUGGUGUAGCCUCUGCGGCGUGAUGGGCAACCUCCACUGCCGCGUUAUACUCAUGCGCCUCCCUCUCAUGGACAUGAUAACUUCCUUUUUCCUGAUAAUCAAAGAGGGAAGGUGCAGACAAAAUAACAGGCACAAUAGAUUUCUUAUUAAACAUUAGGUUGUAGUUAUAAUCAGUAGCGGUGGGCUCUAUGAACUUAUGGCACUUCAUGGCCUCAAAGUCUAAAUACCGAGUAGGAAGAAUAGGGUCGCUAGACCGCGGUGACACGCCACACUUCUUAGCUAAACGACAGGCAUAAACCCCGCCAUAAAAAUAACCACUAUCAGAAUUGCGUUGCUCCGUGAUUAUAGCAUUUAAUUCCAGUUAAUGCAGUAUCUAGGAGACUCAAGUCUGGGGCACAUAAAGUACUACAAUCUUGCUAGCCCACUAUGCAUUUUCCAUUAAAGGGUGUCGGGUAACGAAUUGAAGGAAAAUGUAUACUACUUAUUAUGCCAUGAGUUACUCCCAUAUCUUCGCCAAAGCAAAGACUAGUUAAAAUGUCUCAUAUUCAGAUUUUGGUGGUUCGUCUAACGAACCCCAUCGUGGAAUUUUACAUGCAUGAGAGAAAUCAUCUAGAGACAUAGUGAAUGCAUUUUCGUAGGGGACAUUUCCAUUUUUUCCCUAACUUUGGCCCGACCUCAUCUUUACCCCAAAAUAAAAAUAGUGCUCAAUUAUACCCCUCUUUCGUCUGAUGCCCUACUGGAAAUACCCCUACGUGCCAUUUUUCGUCCGAUCAAAGGGGUUUGACCAUCAACUGGACAUUUUUUGGACAUUUUUACCCCUCACAAAAACUAUAAAAAGUGAAACAAAAGAAGAAAAAAAGGCAGAGAGAAUCUUACCUGUAGCCGGCCCAUGUUGCCAGCCGAGCACACCACCGUUGCCCAUCGUCAUCUUCAACCUCGCGCCCGAAAAUACAAGGGCGUGUAGAGGUCGUGCACACCGCCGCCUCCUACACAGCCACCGCACUCUCCAUGUCGUCUAACAUGUGCAGAAGCUCCCUCCGAGCUUCGCCAAGUCCCCACAAUGAAGCGCAUGAGCCGGGGGGAACCGCAUUGUCGCCUUCAUCGUCAUCUUCACCGCCGACCGCCGAAGAUUGCCAUCGCUGAUUUGUCAUCGUGAUAGCUCCCUCAACCCAGUCGACCUGCCCAUUAGAACCGUUGUGAUCCAUUGCAUGUCCCCCCCUUUUAAUUUUCUUGUUCCCAUGCCAUAUUGUUGUUCCCCGCGAGAUCCGAAGCUGUAGUCCGCCAUUGACGAAGAACCCAAGCACCUCAAGCUUGACUUGGCCUGUUUUGCUGUCCAACAUGCUCGUGGAGCUCCUAGGAUGCCUCGAAGCCGCUCAACCUCCUCGCCCAUGACCAGUUGCGACUUCUCCAUCGAGCCCGUGCAUGUGCAGCCGCAAACUCUCAUCAUCGGCAACGAUUCAGUACAGUCACAUCAGCCUGAUGACCCACAAGUGUAGGGCAUCUAUCUUAGUCCUUUCGAUAAGUAAGAGUGUCGAACCCAACGAGGAGCAGAAGGAUCUGACAAGUGAUUUUCACCAAGGUAUUCUCUGCAAGCACUGAAAUUAUCGGUAACAGAUAGUUGUGCGGAAAGAUGAUUCGUAGCAAGUAGCAAGUAACAAGUAUCAAUAGUAACAAAGGUGCAGCAAAGUGGCCCAAUCCCUUUUGUAGCAAGGGACAAGCCUGGACGAACUCUUAUAAGAGGUAAAGCACUCCCGAGGACACAUGGGAAUUUCUGUCAAGCUAGUUUUAAUCAAGUUCAUAUGAUUCGUGUUCGCUACUUUGAUAGUUUGAUAUGUGGGUGGACCGGUGCUUGGGUGCUUCCCUUACUUGGACAAACAUCCCACUUAUGAUUAACCCCUCUCGCAAGCAUCCGCAACUACGAAAGAAGAAUUAAGACAAAGUCUAACCAUAGCAUUAAACUAGUGGAUCCAAAUCAGGCCCUUACGAAGCAACGCAUAAACUAGGGUUUAAGCUUAUGUCACUCUAGCAACCCAUCAUCUACUUACUACUUCCCAACGCCUUCCUCUAGGCCCAAAUAAUGGUGAAGUGUUAUGUAGUCGACGUUCACAUAACACCACUAGAGUAAAAACAACAUAAAACGCAUCAAAAUAUCGAAUGAAUACCAAAUUCACAUGACUACUUAUAGCAUGACUUAUCCCAUGUCCUCAGGAACAAAAGUUACUACUCACAAAGCAUAAUUAUGUUCACGAACAAAGAGGUAUUGAAUAGAAUCAAGGAUCUGAACAUAUAAUCUUCCACCGAGUAAUCCAACUAGCAUCGACUACAAAGAGUAAUUAACACUACUAGCAACCUUACAAGUACCAAUCGGAGUCGUGAGACGGAGAUUGGUUACAAGAGAUGAACUAGGGUUUGGAGAUGAGAUGGUGCUGAUGAAGAUGUUGAUGGUGAUGAGACCCCUCCGAUGAGAGGAGUGUUGGUGAUGACGAUGGCGACGAUUUCCCCUUCCCAGAGGGAAGUUUCCCCGGCAGGACGACCCUGCCGGAGCUCUAGAUUGGUUCUGCUCAAGUUCCGCCUCGUGGCGGCGGCGAUUCCUCCCGAAAGCCUCCUCCUGAUUUUUUCGGGAACGAAACCCUCCUUAUAGCAAAAGAGGGGAGCCAGAGGGCCAACAGGGAGCCCAGAAGCCCCCUAGGCACGGUGAGGGGGUAGGCCGCGCCUAGCAGGCUUGUGGCCUCAUGGUGGCUCCCCUCUGGUACUUCUUCAGCCCAGUAUUUUUUAUAAAUUCCAAACUAAUUCCUCGUUGAUUUUCACGGCUUUUGGAGUUGUGCGGAAUAGGUAUCUCAAACUUGCUCCCUUUUCAGGCCAGAAUUCCAGCUGUCGGCAUUCUCCCUCUUCAUGUAAACCUUGCAAAAUAAGAGAGAAAAGGCAUAAGUAUUGUACCGUGAAGUGUAAUAACAGCCAAUAAAGCGAUAAAUAUCAACAUAAAAGCAUGAUGCAAAAUGGACGUAUCAACUCCCCCAAGCUUAGACUUCGCUUGUCCUCAAGCGGAAACCGACAUCAAUAAAUAUGCCCACAUGUUUAGAGAGAGAGGUGUCGACUAAACAAGAUAUGGACAUGCACGCAUCAUGAUCAUAAUCAGAACAGCAAUAUCAUCAUAUAAUCUCUUAUGCUAAAGUGAUAAUUCCUUCACAAAGUAAAGUAUGGAUCAAGAACUUUAUUGAGAAUUAGCAACCAAUAGCCUUUAGUCACUGAAGCAAUUGCAAUUUAUCAUAGCAUCGGAAAGAUUCAAAUAAGAGCUUGUAAAGAAAAUCAACAUACUCAAUCAUCCUUUUGUCUUCUACAAUUGCUACAACUCACGUGGUACUCAUGAGAUCAAAGUUUCAGUCAGACACAGAGAAAGAUAGGCGCUUAUAGUUUUGCCUCCCAACUAUUUACCUCAAGGGUAAUGUCAACAAUAAUAAUUCAUGAAUACUUACUUCCAAGUUGACAUAUGAAUAUAGAUCUUUUCCCUAGCACAUGACNNNNNNNNNNNNNNNNNNNNNNNNNNNNUUUCCCUAGCAUAUGAUGUUAGCCAAGAUAAAGGAGAAAUAAGGAAUUGGUGUAGAUCACCAUGACUCUUUCAAGGGCAAAAAGUAAAGGUACAAGAUAGGCCCUUCGCAGAGGGAAGCAGAGGUUGUCAUGCGCUUUUGAGGUUGGGAUGUGUGACCUCUUAGUGUGAAGGAACGUCACUUUAUAUUGCCUCCUGUGAUAAAGAACUUUAUUACGCAGUCUGUCGCUUUUAUGUCUUCCUCAUCAUAGGUUCGUACAAAGCUUAUUUUCCACACACUAAUAGAUCAUACAUAUUUAGGGAGGAAUUUUUAUUGCUUGCACCGAUGACAACUUACUUGAGGGAUCUUAUUCAAUCCAUAGGUAGGUAUGGUGGACUCUCAUGGCAAAACUGGGUUGAAGGUUUAUGGAUGCACAAGUAGUAUCUCUACUUGGUUUUUGGCUGAUAUGGGGUGGAAGAAAUCGUCACAUGCUAAGGGAUCUCUAGUCAUAUAAUCAUUAUUCGGAACCAAGCAAACACAAUUCAUUAUGUUCUCUUCCUUGUCCAACUUCUACUUCUAAGCAUGCAAUAGUUUAGUGAGUGUUCACAGUCAUAGAUGGUGCCCAGGAUGAUAUAUUUAUAUGUGAAUCUCUCUUUCUUUAUUACUUCCUAUUAAUUGCAGCAAUGACCAAGGUCUACGUUUGUUCACCCGCAACAAGUUUCAAUCAUCAUUCUUUUUAUAUGUGGAGUCGUCACUUCCCAUAAGAUCAUUACAUGAUCUUUCAUGCUUUUGUUCUUUUAUCAUUAUUUUCUUUAGAUCAUGGCAUGAAGCAAGGCCCUUAACUAAAACACUCUUUAUUAUAUGACUCACGAACUCGAAUACAUCAGGGGUGACACAAAGCAAAACUCAAGCCUAAAACACUAAGAACUUUAUUCUACUAGAGAAAGAUAGAACCAAAAAGGAUCGAACUAAGAAAAGGUAAAGGCAAAAGAUGUGAUGGUGAUACGAUACCGGGGCAACUCCCCCAAGCUUGGCACAAGCCAAGGGGAUUGCCAUACCCGUGCUUAUUUGUCUUCCUUUGAAGGUGAUGGUGGUGGAGCUGUCUUGUCUUUUGGUUCCAAGAGGGCCAUCAAUCUUUGAUUUAUACCUUGGAGCUCUGUGAUAUGUUUCUCUAGCAAAACAACUUCACAGGUGAGAUAAGUAUUGCGACACGAGUUAUUUCACAUAACCUCAAGAGCUCGAUCAAGGAUGGAGGUAAAAGGUGGAGGUAGGGUUGAAGAAAAUCCUCUUCCUCAGCUUCUUCCUAGUUGAGCACAGAUUGCCCUUCAUCCAACGCCGGACUCUUCUCCUUACUUUUGCCCCUAGUUUCUUCAGGUAGCCUUUCCUUGGCCUCCAUGACCUCCAUUCUUUUUAGAUCAGCAUUUACUUCUUCAUAGACUUGAGGGAGAUCGUUCUCCCCUACAGAUUCCUGAGACGGCAUCUUUGCCCUAAAUCGGUGGCAGAAACAGGCUCGAAACGAAAACAGAGAAAAUUUGUGUGAUACGAGGGUCAGACCUUUCGGGAGAAUAUAUAAUGAUUUUUUUCUGACCAGAAGGAGUACUCCGCAAGAAAACAGAGUCCAGGAGGCACACGAGGUGGUCACAAGCCCCCCAGGCGUGGCCAGGGGGUGGCCCGCGCCUGGCAGGCUUGUCGCCUCCUCGUGCGCUUUCGAGACUACUUUAAAUUUUUCUAUUUUUCUAAAAAUUCCAAAACGGAGAAAAAUUCCUAGUGGAAAAGUUUUGGAGUCGGUUUACUUACCGAAUCACAUACCUCUUCGUUUUUGGAGUCUGAAACAGGCUGAUAAAUAUCCCUUAUGUACUCCUCCGGAGUUAUGGUAUUGAUAACAUUGCUUUCAACAUUUAUGGGAGUACCUGAGAUAUAAUGCUUGAUCCUUUUCCCAUUUACCACUCUCGGAAAAUUACCUUCCGUGUUGUUGAUCUUGAUGGCACCGGAACGAUAUACUUCCUCAACAAUGUAAGGACCUUCCCAUUUAGAGAGAAGCUUUCCUGCAAAAAAUCUUAAACGAGAAUUAUAUAACAAGACAUAAUCACCUACAUUGAACUCAUGUUUUUGUAUCCUUUUAUCAUGCCACCUCUUAACCUUUUAUUUGAACAACUUGGCAUUUUGAUAUGCCUGAGCUCUCCAUUCAUCAAGUGAGCUAAUAUCAAAUAACCUCUUCUCACCAGCAAGUUUGAAAUCAAAGUUGAGCUCUUUGAUUGCCCAAUAAGCCUUAUGCUCUAGCUCAAGUGGUAAAUGACAUGCUUUACCGUAAACCAUUUUGUACGGAGACAUGCCCAUGGGAUUCUUAUAAGCAGUUCUAUAAGCCCACAGUGCAUCAUCGAGCUUCUUAGACCAACUCUUUCUAGACCUAUUGACAGUCUUUUGCAGAAUUAGUUUAAUCUCUCUAUUACUUAGAUCUACUUGACCGUUGGACUGAGGAUGAUAGGGAAACGCAAUUCUAUGAUUGACAUCGUACUUAGCGAGCGUUUUACGGAAAGCACCAUGAAUGAAAUGUGAACCACCAUCAGUCAUUAGAUAUCUAGGGACUCCAAAUCUAGGGAAAAUAACUUCUUUAAGCAUUCUGAUAGAGGUGUUGUGAUCAGCACUACUAGUUGGGAUAGCUUCUACCCACUUAGUAACGUAAUCAACAACUAGGAUAUGAGUAUACCCGUUGGAUUUUGGAAAAGGUCCCAGAUAAUCAAAACCCCAAACAUGAAAUGGUUCAAUGACAAGUGAAUAAUUCAUAGGCAUUUCCUGACGUUUACUGAUAUUACCUAUUCUUUGACAUUCGUCACAAGAUAGGACAAACUUACGGACAUCCUUGAAGAGAGUAGGCCAAUAGAAACUUGAUUGCAAUACCUUGUGUGCAGUUCUAUCUCCCGCAUGGUGUCCUCCAUAAGCCUCGGAGUGACACUUUUGUAGGAUCUGUCCCUGUUCAUGUUCAGGUACACAACGUCUAAUAACACCAUCUACUCCUUCCUUAUAAAUGUGAGGAUCAUCCCAAAAGUAAUGUCUCAAAUCAAAGAAGAAUUUCUUCUUUUGCUGGUAUGUGAAACUAGGUGGUAUAUAUAUUUGGCAAUGAUAUAAUUCGCAUAAUCAGCAUACCACGGUGUACUACGUGAAGUAUUGAUGACAAUCAAUUGCUCGUUAGGAAAGCUAUCAUCAAUAGGUUGUGGGUUAUCAAGAACAUUCUCCAACCUAGACAAGUUAUCUCCUACGGGGUUCUCAGCACCCUUCCUAUCGACAACAUGUAAAUCAAAUUCUUGUAGCAAGAGAACCCAUCUGAUAAGUCUAGGCUUAGCGUCUUUCUUUUCCAUGAGGUACUUAAUAGCAGCGUGAUCAGUGUGAAUAGUGAAUUUGGAAUCAACUAUGUAAGAUCUGAACUUUUCACAUGCAAACACGGUUACUAAAAAUUCCUUUUCAGUAGUAGCAUAGUUUCUUUGGGCACUGUCUAGAGUUUUACUAGCAUAGUGAAUAACGUUCAACUUCUUAUCAACUCUUUGUCCUAGAACAACGCCAACAGCAUAAUCACUAGCAUCACACAUGAUUUCAAAAGGUAAGUCCCAAUUAGGUGGUUGAACAAUAGGCGCAGUUAUCAAGGCCUUUUUAAUUAUUUCGAAGGCUUCCUCACAAUCAUCGUCAAAAACAAAAGGAAUAUCAUUUUGCAAGAGAUUGGUAAGAGGCCUAGAAAUCUUAGAGAAGUCCUUAAUGAACCUUCUAUAGAAACCAGCAUGACCAAGGAAACUUCUUAUACCUUUGAUAUCUGUAGGGCAUGGCAUUUUCUCGAUCGCAUCCACCUUAGCCUUAUCGACUUCAAUACCUCUUUCAGAAAUUUUAUGUCCUAAGACGAUCCCUUCAUUAACCAUAAAGUGGCACUUCUCCCAAUUCAAGACAAGAUUGGUAUCUUUACAUCUCUGCAAGACUCGAUCAAGGUUGCUGAGGCAAUCAUCAAAAGAAGACCCGUAAACGGAGAAGUCAUCCAUGAAAACCUCAAAAAUCUUUUCACAAAAGUCAGAGAAUAUAGCCAUCAUACAUACUUGAAAGGUAGCAGGUGCAUUACAUAAGCCAAAAGGCAUACGUCUGUAAGCAAAGGUACCGAAAGGGCAGGUGAAAGUGGUUUUCUCCUGAUCAGAUUGUGCAACACGUAUUUGGGAGAAACCAGAAUAACCAUCUAGAAAGCAGAAGUGUGUGUGUUUAGACAGUCUUUCUAGCAUUUGGUCGAUAAAAGGCAAAGGGUAAUGAUCCUUCCUAGUGGCCUUAUUCAAUUUCCUAAAAUCAAUCACCAUCCUAUAGCCAGUAAUAAUCCUCUGAGGGAUCAAUUCAUCCUUAUCAUUAGGGACAACGGUAAUACCUCCCUUCUUAGGGACGCAAUGCACCGGACUUACCCAAUCACUAUGAGCAACAGGAUAGAUAAUACCUGCUUCCAGGAGCUUUAGUAUUUCUUUUCUUACUACCUCUUUCAUCUUAGGAUUUAAUCUCCGUUGAUGAUCGGCAACUGGUUUGGAAUCAGGAUCGGUUUUAAUCUUGUGCUGGCAUAGAGUGGGACUAAUGCCCUUAAGAUCAUCAAGAGUAUAUCCAAUAGCAGCACGGUGCUUCCUCAUAGUUUUUCAUAACUUCUUUUCUUCAAGCUCUGAAAGGCUAGCACUAAUUAUAACAGGAUAUAUCUCUUUUUCAUCAAGAUAAGCAUACUUAAGAGUAUCAGGCAACUGUUUAAGCUCGAACACAGGAUCACCCUUUGGUGGGGGUGGAUCUCCAAGCUGUUCAACAGGAAAAUUAUUCUUAAGGAUAGGAUGGUGUUCAAAGAUAACUCUAUCUAUCUCAUUCCUUUCAUCCAUAUGCAUAUCAUUUUCAUGCUCAAGCAAGUAUUGCUCUAAAGGAUCAGUAGGAGGCACGGCAAUAGAAUCUAGGGCAAUAAUAUCAUACUUACUAGGCAACUCUUUUUCAUGAGGUUGUCUACCAAACUUGGAGAAAUUGAACUCAUGUGACACACCUUCAAAGCCAACAGUGCCAAUUUACUUCUCACAGUCAAUAUGAGCAUUGACAGUAUUGAGGAAAGGUCUGCCAAAUAUGAUGGGACAAAAGCUAUCUUGUGUGGUAGCAAGAAUGAGAAAAUCAGCAGGAUAUUUCCUUUUACCACACAAGACUUCAAUAUCCCUAACAAUUCCCAAAGGGCAGAUAGUAUCUCUAUUGGCAAGUUGAAUAGUGACAUCAAUAGGUUCCAUUUCAACAGGUGCAAUCUCGUCUUUAACUUCAUCAUAUAAGAAUUGAGGUAUUGCACUAACACUAGCACCCGCGUCACAUAAAACAUGAUAACAAUGAUCUCCUAUCUUAACAGAAACAACAGGUGUGCCAACAACAGGCCUAUGUUUGUCUAUAGCAUGAGGUUUAGCAAUUGUAGCAGCAUCUUCACAGAAGUGAAUAUCAUGGCCCUCAACAUCGUCAGACAGGAGAUCUUUGAUAAUAGCAAUGCUAGGUUCAACUCUAAUUUGCUCAGGGGGUGUAGGUGUUCUAAUGUAUCCCCUAGGUAUCACAGUUGAAACUUUAGAAUGAUCCUUUAUCCUAACAGGGAAAGGUGGUUCCUCAACGUAAGCACUAGGAACAAUAGGAUCAUUAUAAGCGAUGACUCUCUCUUCAACUGGAUUAGGUUUAACUACAUUGACUUCUAAGGCAGGAUGAUAUUUAAACCACUUCUCUUUAGGGAGAUCAAUAUGAGCAGCAAAUGAUUCACACAAUGAAGCUACUAUCUCAAAGUCAAGUCCAUAUUUAGCGCUAAAAUCACAAAAAGUAUUUGUUCCAACAAAGGAUUUAACGCAAUCAAACUUGAAAUUCAUACCUGACUCCUUACCUUCAUCAAACUCCCAAUCUUCAGAGUUGCGUUUAAUUCUUUCCAAUAAAUUCCAUUUGAAGUCAAUAUCUCUCUUCAUAAAAGAACCGAUACAAGAAGUGUCAAGCAUGGUGCGAUUAUCAUGAGAAAGCCGAGCAUAAAAGUUCUGAAUGAUAAUUUAUCUCGAGAGCUCAUGGUUGGGGCAUGAAUAUAACAUUGAUUUAAGCCUCCCCCAAGCUUGAGAGAUGCUUUCUCUAUCACGAGGCCAAAAAUUAUAAAUAUAAUUCCGAUCACGAUGUACCAAAUGCAUAGGAUAAAACCUUUGAUGAAAUUCCAAUUUCAAUCAGUUGUAGUUCCAUGAUCCAGUAUCAUCACAUAGCCUAUACCAUGUCAAUGAUUAUCCCUCAAAGAUAAGGGAAAGACCUUCUUCUUGACCCCGGGCAAACCUGCAAGCUUAAAUAAACCACAAACUUCAUCUACAUAGAUUAGAUGCAAGUCGGGAUGUGAUGUUCCAUCUCCUGUAAAAGGAUUAGCCAGCAAUUUCUCAAGCAUACCCAAAGGAAAUUCAUAGCAAAUAUUUUCAGUAGGUGCAGCAGGUUGAGGAGCAACUCCUUGUGCUUCCGUUCGAGGUGAAGAUACCCCGAACAAGCUCCUCAAAGGAUUAGUUUCCAUAGUAACAAGUGACAAUAAAUUUCAGCACACUAUAUAAAUGUUUCCUUACCAAAUUCCACUUACGAAAGGCGCUUCACUCCUCAGAAACGGCGCCAGAAAAGAGUCUUGAUGACCCACAAGUGAAGGGGAUCAAUCGUAGUCCUUUCGAUAAGUAAGAGUGUCGAACCCAACGAGGAGCAGAAGGAUCUGACAAGUGGUUUUCAGCAAGGUAUUCUGUGCAAGCACUGAAAUUAUCGGUAACACAUAGUUGUGCGGAAAGAUGAUUCGUAGCAAGUAGCAAGUAACAAGUAGCAAUAGUAACAAAGGUGCAGCAAAGUGGCCCAAUCCCUUUUGUAGCAAGGGACAAGCCUGGACGAACUCUUAUAAGAGGUAAAGCGCUCCCGAGGACACAUGGGAAUUUCUGUCAAGCUAGUUUUCAUCAAGUUCAUAUGAUUCGCGUUCGCUACUUUGAUAGUUUGAUAUGUGGGUGGACCAGUGCUUGGGUGCUGCCCUUACUUGGACAAACAUCCCACUUAUGAUUAACCCCUCUCGCAAGCAUCCGCAACUACGAAAGAAGAAUUAAGACAAAGUCUAACCAUAGCAUUAAACUAGUGGAUCCAAAUCAGUCCCUUACGAAGCAACGCAUAAACUAGGGUUUAAGCUUCUGUCACUCUAGCAACCCAUCAUCUACUUACUACUUCCCAAUGCCUUCCUCUAGGCCCAAAUAAUGGUGAAGUGUUAUGUAGUCGACGUUCACAUAACACCACUAGAGGAAAAACAACUUACAACGCAUCAAAAUAUCGAACGAAUACCAAAUUCACAUGACUACUUAUAGCAUGACUUAUCACAUGUCCUCAGGAAUAAAAGUAACUACUCACAAAGCAUAAUUAUGUUCAUGACCAGAGAGAUAUUGAAUAGCAUCAAGGAUCUGAACAUAUAAUCUUCCACCGAGUAAUCCAACUAGCAUCGACUACAAAGAGUAAUUAACACUACUAGCAACCUUACAAGUACCAAUCGGAGUCGUGAGACGGAGAUUGGUUACAAGAGAUGAACUAGGGUUUGGAGAUGAGAUGGUGCUGAUGAAGAUGUUGAUGGUGAUGAGUGCCCUCCGAUGAGAGGAGUGUUGGUGAUGACGAUGGCGACGAUUUCCCCCUCCGGGAGGGAAGUUUGCCCGGCAGGAUGACCCUACCAGAGCUCUAGAUUGGUUGUGCUCAAGUUCCGCCUCGUGGCGGCGGCGAUUCCUCCCGAAAGCCUCCUCCUGAUUUUUUCCGGAAUGAAACCCUCCUUAUAGCAAAAGAGGGGAGCCAGAGGGACAACAGGGAGCCCACAAGCCUCCUAGGCGCGGCCAGGGGGUAGGUCGCGCCUAGCAGGCUUGUGGCCUCCUGGUGGCUCCCCUCUGGUACUUCUUCAGCCCAGUAUUUUUUAUAAAUUCCAAAAUAAUUCCUCGUUGAUUUUCACGGCUUUUGGAGUUGCGCAAAAUAGGUAUCCCAAACUUUCUCCCUUUUCAGGCCAGAAUUCCAGCUGCCGGCAUUCUCCCUCUUCAUGUAAACCUUGCAAAAUAAGAUAGAAAAGGCAUAAGUAUUGUACCGUGAAGUGUAAUAACAUCCCAUAAAGCGAUAAAUAUCAACAUAAAAGCAUGAUGCAAAAUGGACGUAUCACAGCCCCAGAACCUCUGAUCGAUGUGCGCCAUCUCUGACUACCCAGCACACCACACUAAAGUUAGCAGAACUUCACAAGAAUGGUAGCAACUACUCAUAGGGAUGCCUAGAGCCUAAAACAAGCAUUCAAACUACUUGGAAAUUCAAGAAUUCAACAUGCAAGCUCAUCUAUAGAAACACCCAGAGUAGCUAAUUACUUCUGAGAUAAACCACUAGAGCAAAAACUAAUUGGAGGAGUGGGGGAGUUAUUUACCAAGGAGCAAUCCUCCAAAACAGUUUCGGAAAUGGAGUUUUGAGCAAAGAGAUCGAAAUCCAGGGUUUGAGGGCAAGAACGAGAGAAAGAGAGCUACACGAAUUUUUAUGUAGAGGUGAGUGAUGAAGUGGGAUGAAGGAAUAAGUGAGGGGACCCCCGAGGGGCCGACUAGACACCUGGCUGCGCUAGGGGGCUCGCGCGCCCUGGUGUCUAGUGGCCACCUGAGACACCCCCUGCAGUGUUUUUAGUGCUAGAAAUUCUCAAAUAUUCAGAAAACAAUUGUGUAAAAAUUUCAGGUCAUUUGGAGAACUUUUAUUUUUGGGCACUUUUUUAUUGCACGAAAAUAUCAGAAAAUAGGAUAAUCAUGACUUUUAUUAUAAUUAACUAAAAAUAACAGGGAAAAUAAAGUGGGUACAGAGAAUUGUGCCUACUAAAUUCAUCGACCUCAUGCUUCUUGAAAAUGAUUCAUUAAUAAGGUUGAUCAAGUCUUAUUAACAACCACUUCCAAUUAGCAUGAUCCCAAAGAUUUUUUCUAAAACACUAAAAUACCUCCAUGGGGAUGUGCGUAUCCCACCAACCAAUAAGUAUCUCAUAUUUAUUUUUGUUUCUCGAAAAAUGCACCGAAUGUUCUUUACCAUUGACAAGAAAAGUGACAUUGCUUUUGUUGAAAUCAAUAACAGCCCUUGUAGUAUUCAAGAAAGGUCUACCAAGGAUGAUUGACAUGUUGUCAUCCUCGGGCAUAUCAAGUAUAGCAAAGUCUAUCAAGAUAGUAAUAUUAGCAACAACAACAUGUACAUCCUCACAAAUACCGAUAGGUAUCGCUGUUGAUUUGUCAGCCAUUUGCAAUGAAAUUUCAGUAGGUGUGAGUUUAUUCAAGUCAAGUCUUUUGUAUAAAGAAAAAGGCAUAACACUAGCACCAGCUCCUAUAUCACAUAGAUCAACAGCAGGUUCUAGAUCAACAUCAUUAUCUGGUUCUUUAUCAAUGUCAGGUUGAGCAUCUACAUGAGCAUCAUGAUUAUCAUUCUCAUUAUCACUAGGUGAAUGCUCACUACCAGAUUGAGUUUUAGCAUCAGAGAUAGAGAUAUCAUUAGCAUUAGCAGAAUGUUUCUCUAAUUCAGGUUUACUAGAAGUAUGAAAGGUCCUAUCAUUUUUCAUUUUCAUUUUCUUCCUAGAAGUACUAGGUGCAUCAGUAUUAAUUCUUUGUGAAUCUUGUUCAGUUCUUUUAGGAUGGCCUUCUGGAUAUAGUGGAUCUUGAGUCACUGUGCCUCCUCUAGUCAUUACUCUAAUAGCAUGAUCAUUCAUAUUAUUAGUGAUUUUAUGAAGUAGCUCACUUUGGGAUUUAGCAAGUUGUUCUAGUUGGGUUUGAACCAUAGAAGCAUGUUUUCCUACACCUCUUACAUCAUUGGUGAUUCUAAAUAACAAGUCACUUAAGCGAGCAAUUAUAUCAGAGUUUUGUUUCAAUUAUUUUAUGACAUAGGAGUUGAAAUGAUCUUGCUUUAUAAUAUAAUUAUCAAACUCAUAUAAGCAUUGACUAGGAUGUUUAUUGUAAGGGAUAUCACCUUCAUCGAACUUUAAAAGAGAAUUUACCUCCACCACCUGUGGUGGUGUUUGGAGACCAUGUAUUUCUUUGAUAGGUGGUAAAUUCUUAACAUCUUCACCUUUAAUGCCUUUUUCCUUCAUACAGUUCUUUGCCUCUUGCAUAGUUUCAGGACUAAGGAAUAAGAUACCUCUCUUCUUUGGAGUACGCUUAUGCGGUGGUUCGGGAAGUGUCCAUUCAUCAUAAUUCUGCAAUAUAUUAGUCAAUAACUCCUCAGCUUGUUCGACAAUUCAUUCCUUGAGAACACAACCAGCACAACUAUCUAGGUGGUCCCUAGAAGCAUCGAUUAGUCCAUUAUAAAAUAUAUCAAGUGUUUCAUUUUUCUUAAGAGGAUGAUCACGCAAAGCAUUAAGUAAUUGAGAAGCCUCCCCCAAGCUUGUGGGAGACUCUCUUCUUCAAUUUGCACAAAGUUAAAUAUUUCAUAUAAGGCAGAUUGUUUCUUAUGAGAAGGAAAGUAUAUUUCAGAGAAGUAGUAAAUCAUAUCCUGGGGACUACAAACUCAACCAGGAGCAAGAGUAUUGUACCAAUUCUUAGCAUCACCCUCUAACGAGAAUGGAAAUAAUUUGAGGAUAUGUAGUGGCAAAUUUUCUCAUCAUUAGUAAAUAGGGUGGCUAUAUCAUUUAGCUUAGUGAGAUGUGCCACAAUAGUUUCAUUUUCAUAGCCAUGAAAAGGAUCAGAUUCAACCAGAGUGAUUAUCUGUAGGUCGAUAGAGAAUUCAUAAUCCUUAUCGGUAACAAAGAUAGGUGAAGUAGCAAACUUAGGAUCAUAUUUCAUUCUAGCAUUCAGGGAUUUUUCUUUCAACUUGCAUAGUAGUUUCUUAAGAUCAUCUCUAUCCUUACAAGCAAGAAAGUCUCUAGCAAUUUAUUCAUCCAUAACAUAACCUUCAGGUAUUUCAGGCAUUUCAGUUCUAGGAUAGUCAUGGCUAAAAGGUAUUUCAAUAUUUUCACUAGCAAAGGCUUCAUCAGUUUCAACACUAUCAGCAAUUUCAACAUGCUCAAUUUCUUUAGCUCUAGCAAGUUGUUCAUCAAGAAAUUCACCUAGUGGCACACUAUCAUCAAGCAAGGUACUAGCAUAAUCAUAAGCAUCAUUCAUAGCAGAGGUAGCAUCAUCAAUUACUUGCAACAUAUUAGGAUUAAUAGCAUGUGGUGCUGGUGUUGCAAGUCUAUUCAAAAUAGAUGGUUAAUCAAGUGCAGAUCUAGAUGGCAGUUCCUUACCUCCCCUCGUCUUAGAGGGAACGACCUUGGUUCUUGGAUCUUUCACAUUCUUCAUAGUGAUCAAUAAAUAGAUAUCCCAAGUGACUAAGCAAAUAUAGCUAUGGUCCCCGGCAACGGCGCCAGAAAAUGUUCUUGAUAACCCACAAGUAUAUGGGAUCGCGAUAGUUUUCGAGGGUAGAGGAUUCAACCAAAAUUUAUAGAUUCGACACAUGGGGAGCCAAAGAAUAUUUGCAGGUAUUAGCAGUUGAGUUGUCAAUUCAACCACACUUGGAGAUUUAGUAUUUGCAACAAAGUGAUCAGUAGCACAGUAAUAUGAUAGUUUUGAUAGAAGUGGUAACAGUAGCAGCAGUAACUGUAAUAGUGAUAGUAGUUUUAUAGCAGUUGUAACAGCAGUAGCAAUAGUAGUAACUGAGCAAGCACAAUAUAUGAAAAACUCGUAGGCACUGGAUCGGUGAUAUUUUUGGAUAAUAUUCAUCAUAUAACAGUCACAACAUCGGGCGACACAGAACUAGCUCUCGUUGAUCGAUAUAAUGUAGGCAUGUCUUUCGUAAAUAGUCAUACGUGCUUAUGGAAAAGAACUUUCUGGGCUAGAUCAGAUCGGACCGCGAUUGGAUUGUGAAGAAGUAUGACUACAUUAACCGUAUUAUAUACGCUUUCGCUUAACGAUCUACAAGGGUACGUAGACACGCUAUCACUCUCGUUUCUAUGCAUCUCCAUAGAUAGAUCUUGGGUGUUCCUAGGAAAAAAUUUGUUUCCCGUGCAAGGUUCCCCAACACAAGCGAGGGCGGAGAAGUAGAUGGGAUCUUGACCAGAACAACAACAUAGUGGAGAUAGUGGUGGACCAAUGCCAACAAGGCUUUGUCAAGUACCUCCAAAACUACGAACGAGGAAUAAUUCAGCAAGAUGGGAUAGGGGCUGCCCAAGGGAGGGGGGAUUGGUGUGCGGAUGCCCUCCCCACCCCUCCUAUGUUAAUAGGAUCAAGGGUGAGGGUUUCACCCCCCCUUUGCCCCUCCUCCAAGAAGUUUGCGACGGCCCUAGGGAGGAGGAGUGCCAUCUAAGCCAAGUGGAGGGCCCUUUCCCUUAGGGUUUCCCUUCCCUCUAGACACGUGGGCCUUGUGGGGCUAGUACCUGAUAACCUACAAGUAUAUGGGAUCGCGAUAGUUUUCGAGGAUAGAGUACUCAACCCAAAUUUAUAGAUUUGACACAAGGGGAGCCAAAGAAUAUUUGCAGGUAUUAGCAGCUGAGUUGUCAAGUCAACCACACUUGGAGAUUUAGUAUCUGCACCACACUGAUGAGUAGCAUAGUAAUAUGAUAGUUUUGAUAGAAGUGGUAACAAUAGCAUGAGUAAUGGUAACAGUGAUAGCAGUUUUGUAGCAGUUGUAGUAGCAGUAGCAACGGUAGUAACUUAGGAAGCACAAUAUGUGGAAAACUCAUAGGCACUGGAUUGGUAAUAUUGUUGGAUAAUAUUCAUCAUAUAACAGUCACAACGUCGGACGACACAGAACUAGCUCUCGUUCAUCGAUAUUAGGCAUGUAUUUCGUAAAUAGUCAUACGUGCUUAUGGAAAAGAACUUGCAUGACAUCUUUUGUCCUACCCUCCCGUGGCAGCGGGGUCCAUAAGGAAACUAAGGGAUAUUAAGGCCUCCUUUUAAUAGAGAAUUGGAUCAAAUCAUUAACACAUAGUAAAUACAUGAACUCCUCAUAGUACGGUAAUCACCGGAGAGAAUCCCAAUUAUUGUCACUUUGGAGUAUGCGGAUCCUAACACAUAGUAGGUGCAUAUAACUUGCAAGAUCGGAUCAAGAACAUAGAUAUAAUGAUGAAAACAUAAACGUUUUAGAUAUGAAAUCAUGGCACUCAGGCCAUAGUGACAAGCAUUAAGCAUAGCAAAGUCAUAGCAACAUCUAUCGCCGAACAUGUGGAUACUCGGGAUCAAGCCCUAACAAAACUAUCUCGAUUACAUGAUGAAUAUUGUCGAGCUCUUCACUGACCAGCAAGCCUAUGAAGGUAUUACUCACUCCUGGUGGAGAGGAUCAUGGAAUUGGCGAUGGAGGAGGGUUGGUGAUGACGAAGACCGAAGAUUCCCCUCUCCGGAGCCCCAAACGGACUCCGCAUUAGGCCUCCCGAUGAAGAAGAGGAGGUGGUGGCGGAUCCGUAUCGUGAAACACGAUGGAACUUUCUCUCUGAUUUUUUCUUCGAAAAUAGGAAUUUAUAGCGGUGGAAUUAGGGUUAGCAGAGCCACAUGGGUUCCACUAGACACCAGGCCGUGCUAGGGGCGGCUGGCGCGCCCUGAUGUUUAGUGGGCGCAUCUGGCCUCCCCUCCGGUGGAUCUUGGUUCCAGUAUUUUUUUUAUAUUCCAAAAAAAAUCUCCAAAAAGUUUUGUUCCAUUCCGAGAAAUUUUGUUUCUGCACAAAAACAACACCAUGAUAGUUCUGCUGAAAACAACGCCAGUCCGGGUUAGUUUCAUUCAAAUCAUGCAAAUUAUAGUCCAAAACAAGAGCAAAAGCAUUAGGAAAAGUAGAUAUGAUGGAGACGUAUCAGUACCCCUAGCCCAAUGAGGUCAGGGCGCCCCCAUACAGCCCAUGUACGUCCUAGGGGCUGGAGGGACCCUUCCGGACUCCUCUAGAACUCUUCGAAACCUUCCAGAACCUUCCCUAUACAAUACUGGCAAAACCAGAAACUUUUCCGGUAGCCAAAAUAUGACUUCACAUAUAUAAAUCAUUACCUAUGGACCAUUCUGGAGCUCCUCGUGAUGUCCGGGAUCUCAUCCGAGACUCCAAACAAUAUUCGGUCACCAACGUAUAUAUCCCAAUACUACUUUAGCAUCAUCGAACGUUAAGCGUGCGGACCCUACGGGUUUGAGAAUCAUGUAGACAUGACCAAGACACCUCUCCAGUCAAUAACCAAUAGCGGGACCUGGAUGCCCAUAUUAGUUUGCACAUAUUCCACUAAGACCAUUAUCCAUCGAACCAUGACGCCAAGGAUUUAAUGAAUCCCGUAUGCAGUUCCCUUUGUCCAUCGGUAUGUUACUUGCCCGAGAUUCGAUCAUCGGUAUCUCAUACCUAGUUCAAUCUCGUUACCGCCAAGUCUCUUUACUCGUUUCAUAAUACAAGACCUUGUGACUAACUCCUUAGUCACAUUGCUUGCAAGCUUCUUGUGAUGUUGUAUUACCGAGAGGUACCAGAGAUACCUCUCCGUCAUACGGAGUGACAAAUCCUAGUCUCUAUCCACGCCAACCCAACAGACACCCUCUGAGGUACCUGUAGAGCCCCUUUAUGAUCACCCAAUUAUGAAGUUAUGUUUGAUAGCACACAAGGCAUUCCUACGGUGUCAGGGAGUUGCAUGAUCUCUCAUUGCUCCCUUUCCUUCCAUAAAAUAUCAUCAAAAAGUUUCAAGCAAUUCCGAGAACUUUUAAUUUCUGCACAAGAACAACACCACAAUACUUCUACUGAAAACAACGCCAGUCCAGGCCAGUUCCAUUAUAUCUAUAAAAGUGCAUUAAAACCAUAGAAAAGUAUUCUAAACAUGGGUAAAUAUGGCAUGAAUACUUUGGAAAUUUUGAUGUGUUGGAGAUGUAUCAAGCGACGGCCAAAAAGGAGGCGAAUCCACGUGUUCAUCGGUGAAGUUUGAAGGAAAGAGUUUACCUUAGCUGCCUAGGGUUAGGGGAGGAAACAAGAAGAUAUGGUGUUAUGUUUUCAACCAUAUAACUUCAUAACAAGUUUAGACCAGCAAAUCCAACCUAAUGUAGAACCAACCUAAAAGACACCCUUCAACACUACUUAUAAUAUCAUUCUUUAGUGAAACCAAUUGGUGUGGCAACGAGAAUCUUGACCCGCUCCUCACCAAUCGUGUUCACUGGCAGGAUCAAUUCCAAGCUAUGUGAAGUAGCUCCCCUCGAUGAGGGUCUAGUAGUUUGAGGCAGAAGAGAAUUUGUGCACGAAAAAUUUUCGUUGGUGUAGAAACCUAUAGAUCUUGUACAUAAUACAUUUGGCACACCGCCAUGUGCGCCCCGAAAACAAAAUUUAUAACAAAUAAACCAUAAGGGCACCACAAGGAAGCAAAAAAAACAAAAUUCAAGAUAACUUUCUUUUUUGCUACGUCCACAUCAAACUGAAUUCAUGCAUAGAGUUUGACAUUUUCAUGAGGAAAAAUCAGCAAGGAUGGACCACAAGCAUCUAGCAAAGAUACAAGCAAAGAACAAAUGUUGGAUUAGUUCACUCUCAUUACAAAAAUAGACACAACCCAGUAUCCACCGUCUUAUGCUUGGCAAGGUUUUUCCAUGUAAGAACUUUGUUAUUCACCGGCAACCACAAGAACACAUGAAUCUUAGGGUAAGUUUUUUUGGCAGCUUAAAAAAAUAAGUUGCCUCCUCUUCAGCUUUCCGCAUAAGUUGCAUCUCUGAUGUCUUGGGGCUUCUAAAAUAGUUAUGAGAUGACUAAUUUAGAAGUCUCGAAAAAUUAUGGAGCGACUUAUUUUUUAAACUCGGGAGAGGCAACUUAUCUUUUUAGGCCACCCAAAAGAACUGGCCCUUAAGGGGGCACAGAACCUUCCACAACGAGUCUUUAACGGGAGAAACCACACCACCAGAGUUACUCCUCUCAUAAAUUGAUUUAACAUAAUGUCACCGCUACUAUCCACGACCAUCUAUGAAUGUUAGCAUAUGAGGUAAUUACAAUAAACAAAACAAGAUCAGCCAGUUCAUGCCACAAAAGCAACACCUUAUUAAUCAACACACUGCCUACAGGGGAGCUUCAACCGAGACUCAUCCCAAACUUGAGCAAGAGUGCAAUUAGGUUGGUUAUAAAUCGUAUAAAGAUCCCAUAAUCUAGUUUUAAGCGAGAAUCUCGCAGUCAGACCGGACAAUAAUUGGCACUAGUCCCAUUGCCAAAUCGACCACACAUACAAACGUUUUGUCCCUCCAAACGUCCAAGUGACACUCUUCCAAAAGGAAAAACAUUUGUCAGGUUAAGACCAUAGAGGAAUACGACUACUUCUAUUAUAAUUGAAAUCAAUGACUUCUUACAGUCUUUGCUUGAACCAUAAAAGUACCUUUUAUCCCAAGAACCCAAUAAAGCCAUCUUAAAAUCCCUAAGAAUACUGAUUGUUUAUUUCUAAAAACCAUACAUCAAUUAACCAAAUCAUGCAUGUGAGGGUCCCCGGAUUUGUUGGGGAACGUCGCAUGGGAAAUAAAAAAUUUCCUACGCGCAUGAAGACCUAUCAUGGUGAUGUCCAUCUACGAGAGGGGAUAUUCGAUCUACGUACCCUUGUAGACCGCACAGCAGAAGCGUUAGUGAAUGCGGUUGAUGUAGUGGAACGUCCUCACGUCCCUCGAUCCGCCCCGCGAACCGUCCCGCGAUCAGUCCCACGAUCUAGUGCCGAACGGACGGCACCUCUGCGUUCAGCACACGUACAACUCGACGAUGAUCUCGGCCUUCUUGAUCCAGCAAGAGAGACAGAGAGGUAGAUGAGUUCUCCGGCAGCGUGACGGCGCUCCGGAGGUUGGUGGUGAUCUAAUCUCAGCAGGGCUCCGCCCGAGCUCCGCAGAAACGCGAUCUAGAGGUAAAACCGUGGAGGUAUGUGGUCGGGCUGCCGUGGCAAAGUUGUCUCAAAUCAGCCCUAAAACCUCCACAUAUAUAGGGGGAAGAGGGGGGGCCUUGCCUUGGGGCUCAAGGGGCCCCAAGGGGGUCGGCCGAGCCAAGGGGGUGAGUCCUCCCCUUCCAAACCGAAUCCAACUAGGUUUGGAAGGAGGAGUCCUUCCCCCUUUUCCCACCUCCUCUUUUUUUUCUCUUUGAUUUUCUUCCUGUGGCGCAUAGAGCCUUCUUGGGCUGUCCCACCAGCCCACUAAGGGCUGGUGCGCCACCCCCAAGUCCUAUGGGCUUCCCCGGGGUGGGUUGGCCCCUCCCGGUGAACACCCGGAACCCAUUCGUCAUUCCCGGUACAUUCCCGGUAACUCCGAAAACCUUUCCGGUAAUCAAAUGAGGUCAUCCUAUAUAUCAAUCUUCAUUUCCGGACCAUUCCGGAAACCCUCGUGACGUCCAUGAUCUCAUCCAGGACUCCGAACAACAUUCCAUAACCAACCAUAUAACUCAAAUACGCAUAAAACAACGUCGAACCUUAAGUGUGCAGACCCUGCGGGUUCGAGAACUAUGUAGACAUGACCCGAGUGACUCCUCGGUCAAUAUCCAAUAGCAGGACCUGGAUGCCCAUAUUGGAUCCUACAUAUUCUACGAAGAUCUUAUCAUUUGAACCUCAGUGCCAAGGAUUCAUAUAAUCCCGUAUGUCAUUCCCUUUGUCCUUCGGUAUGUUACUUGCCCGAGAUUCGAUCGUCAUUAUCCGCAUACCUAUUUCAAUCUCGUUUACCGGCAAGUCUCUUUACUCGUUCCGUAAUACAAGAUCCCACAACUUACACUAAGUCACAUUGCUUGCAAGGCUUGUGUGUGAUGUUGUAUUACCGAGUGGGCCCCGAGAUACCUCUCCGUCACACGAAGUGACAAAUCCCAGUCGAUCCAUACUAACUCCUGUAGAGCAUCUUUAUAGUCACCCAGUUACGUUGCGACGUUUGAUACACACAAAGCAUUCCUCCGGUGUCAGUGAGUUAUAUGAUCUCAGGGUCAUAGGAACAAAUACUUGACACGUAGAAAACAGUAGCAACAAAAUGACACGAUCAACAUGCUACGUCUAUUAGUUUGGGUCUAGUCCAUCACAUGAUUCUCCUAAUGAUGUGAUCCCAUUAUCAAGUGACAACACUUGCCUAUGGUCAGGAAACCUUGACCAUCUUUGAUCAACGAGCUAGUCAACUAGAGGCUUACUAGGGACAGUGUUUUGUCUAUGUAUCCGCACAUGCACUAUGUUUCCAAUCAAUAUAAUUAUAGCAUGGAUAAUAAACGAUUAUCAUGAACUAAGAAAUAUAAUAAUAACUAAUUUAUUAUUGCCUCUAGGGCAUAUUUCCAACAGUCUCCCACUUGCACUAGAGUCAAUAAUCUAGUUCACAUCACCAUGUGAUUUCAACGAAUCCAACACCCAUAUAGUUCUGGGGUCUGAUCACGUCUUACUCGUGAGAGAGGUUUUAGUCGACGGUUCUGAAACUUUCAGAUCCGUGCGUUCUUUACAAAUCUUUAUGUCAUCUUAUAGAUGCUGCUACUACGUGCUAUUCGGAAAUGCUCCAAAUAUCUACUCUACUAUACGAAUCCGUUUCACUACUCAUGGUUAUUCGGAUUAGUGUCAAAGCUUGCAUCGAUGUAACCUUUUACGACGAACUCUUUAACCACCUCCAUAAUCGAGAAAAAUUCCUUAGUCUAUUUAGUUACUAAGGAUAACUUUGACCGCUGAUCAGUGAUUCAAUCCUGGAUCACUCUGUGUACCUCUUAACAGACUUGCUGCAAGGCACACAUCAGGUGCGGUACUCAGCAUGGCAUACUUUAGAGUCUACGGCUAAGGCAUAGAAGAUGACCUUCGUCUAUUCUCUUUAUUCUGCCGUGGUCGGGUUUUGAGUCUUACUCAAAUUCACACCUUACAACGCAGCCAAGAACUCCUUCUUUGCUGAUCUAUUUUGAACUCCUUCAAAAACUUGUCAAGGCAUGCAUCUUGUUUAAACUUCCAUUAAGCGCUUUCGAUCUAUCUCCAUAGAUCUUUGAUGCUCAACGUUCAAGUAGCUCAAUCCAGGUAUUCCUUUGAAAAACCCUUUCAAACAACCUUGUAUGCUCUACAGAAAUUCUACAUUACUUCUGAUCCACAAUAUGUCAACCACAUAUACUUAUCAGAAAUUCUGUAGUGCUCCCACUCACUUCUUUGGAAAUACAAGUUUCUCAUAAACCUUGUACAAACCCAAAAUCUUUGAUCAUCUCAUCAAAGUGUGUAUUCCAACUCCGAGAUGCUUGCACCAGUCCAUUGAAGGAUCACUGGAGCUUGCAUACUUGCUAGUAUCUUUAGGAUCGACAAAACCUCAUGGUUGUAUCUCAUACAAUGUUUGCUCAAGGAAACCGUCGAGGAAACAAUGUUUUGACAUCCUACGUGCAAUAUUUCAUAAAUAAUGCAGCAACUACUAACAUAAUUCCAACAGACUUUUAGCAUCGCUACGAGUGAGAAAGUCUCAUCAUAGUCAACUGUUUGAUCUUGUCGGAAACAUCUUUGCGACAAGUCGAGCUUUUCUUAAUGGUGACUUAUCACCAUCAUUGUCUGACUUCCUUUUAAAGAUCCAUCUUUACUCAAUGGUCCUAUGACCAUCAAGUAGUUCUUCCAAAGUCUACACUUUGUUUUCAUACAUGGAUCCUCUCUCGGAUUUCAUGGCUUCCAGCCAUUUGUCGGAAUCCGGGCCCACCAUUGCUUUCUCCAUAACUCGUAGGUUCACUGUUGCUCAACAACAUGACCUCCAAGACAGGGUUACCGUACCACUCUGCAGUAGUACGCGACCUUGUCAACCUACGAGGCUUGUAGUAACUUGAUCCGAUGCUCGAUGAUCACCAUCAUCAGCUUUCACUUCAAUUGGUGUAGGCGCCACAGGAACAACUUCCUGCGCCUUGCUACACACUGGUUGAAGUGAUGGUUCAAUAACCUCAUCAAGUUCUACCACCCUCCCACUCAAUUCUUUCGAGAGAAACCUUUCCUCGAGAAAGGAUCCGUUUCUAGAAACAAACACUUUGCUUUCGGAUCUGAGGCAGGAGAUGUACCCAACUGUUUUGGAUAUCCUAUGAAGAUGCAUUUAUCCGCUUUGGGUUCGAGCUUAUCAGACUGAAACUUUUUCACAUAAGUGUCGAAGCCGCAAACAUUCAAGAAACGACAGUUUAGAUUUAUCUAAACCUCAGUCUAUACUGUGUCAUCUCAACGGAAAUACGCGGUGCCCUAUUUAAAGUGAAUGCGGUUGUCUCUAAUGCAUAACCCAUAAACGAUAAUGGUAAUUUGAUAAGAGACAUCAUAGCAUGCAUCAUACCAAAUAGUGCGUGGCUAUGACGUUCAGACACAUCAUCACACUAUGAUGUUCCAGGUGGCAUGAACUGCGAAACAAUUUCCACAUUGUCUUAAGUGCGUACCAAAACUCGUAACUCAGAUAUUCAUUUCUAUGAUCAUAUCGUAGACAGUUUAUCCUCUUGUUACGACGAACUUCACUCUGAAACAGAAUUGAACUUUUCAAUAUUUCAGACUUGUGAUUCAUUAAGUAAAUACUCUUGUAUCUACUUAAAUCGUCAUUGAAGUAAGAACAUAAUGAUAUCCACUGCGUGCCUCAGCACCCAUUGGACUGCAUACAUCAAAAUGUAUCACUUCCAACAAGUUACUAUUUUGUUUCAUCUCAAUGAAAACAAGGCCUUGCUCAUGUGGUAUGAUUUGCAUGUCACUAGUGAUUCAAAAUCAAGUGAGUAUAAAGAUCCAUCAGCAUGGAGCCUCUUCAUGCAAUUUAUACCAACAUGACUCAAGCGGCAGUGCCACAAGUAAGUGGUACUAUCAUCAUUACCUCGUGUCUUUUGGCACCAAUAUUAUGAACAUGUGUAACACUACGAUCGAGAUUCAACAAACCAUUGAAGGUGAUUAUUCAAGCAAAUAGAGUAACCAUUAUUCUCUUUAAAUGAAUAAUCGUAUUGCAAUAAACACGAUCCAAUCAUGUUCAUGCUUAACGCAAGCACCAAAUAACAAUUAUUUAGGUUUAACACCAAUCCCGAUGGUAGAGGGAGCGUGCGACGUUUUGAUCAUAUCAAUCUUGGGAACACUUCCAACACGUAUCGUCACCUCGCCUUUAGCUAGUCUCUGUUUAUGCCGUAGCUAUCAUUUCGUGUUACUAAUCACUUAGCAACCGAACCGGUAUCCAAUACCCUCAUGCUACUAGGAGUACUAGUAAAGUACACAUCAUGUAUAUCAAAUAUACUUCUUUUGACUUUUGCCAGCCUACUUAUCUACCAAGUAUCUAGAGUUGCUCCGCCUCAGUGACUGUUCCCCUCAUUACAGAAGCACUUAGUCUCGAGUUUGGGUUUAAUCUUGGGUCUCUUCAUUAGUGCAGCAAUUGUUUUGCCGUUUCACGAAGUAUCCCUUCUAGCCCUUGCCUUUCUUGAAACUUAGUGGUUUUACUAACCAUCAACUAUUGAUGAUCCUUCUUGAUUUCUACUUUCGCAGUGUCAAACAUCGCGAAUCGCUCAAGGAUCACUGUAUCUAUCCUUGAUAUGUUAUAGUUCAUCACGAAGCUCUCACAGCUUGGUGGCAGUGACUUUCGAGAACCAUCACUAUCUCAUCUGGAAGAUUAACUCCCACUUGAUUCAAGCGAUUGUCGUACUCAGACAAUCUGAGCACACGCUCAACGGUUGAGCUUUUCUCCUUUACUUUGUGGACAAAGAAUCUUGUUGGAGGUCUCGUACCUCUUAACAAGGGCACAAGCAUGAAAUCACAAUUUCAUCUCUUUAGAACAUCACUUAUGUUCCGUGACGUUUCAAAACGUUUUCGGCGCCUUGCUUCUAAGCCAUUAAGUAUUUUGCACUGAACUAUCGUGUAGUCAUCAGAAACGUGUAUGUCGGAUGUUCACAGCAUCCACAGACGACGCUCGAGGUGCAGCACACCGAGUGGUGCAUUAAGGACAUAAGCCUUCUGCGCAGCAACGAGGACAAUCCUCAGUUUUACAGACUUAGUCUGCAAAGUUUGCUACUAUCAACUUUCAACUAAAUUUUCUCUAGGAACAUAUAAAAAACAGUAGAGCUAUAGCGCAAGCUACAUCGUAAUUCGCAAAGACCAUUAGACUAUGUUCAUGACAAUUAGUUCAAUUAAUCAUAUUACUUAAGAACUCCCACUCAAAAAGUACAUCUCUCUAGUCAUUUGAGUGGUACAUGAUCCAAAUCCACUAGCUCAAGUCCGAUCAUCACGUGAGUCGAGAAUAGUUUCAGUGGUAAGCAUCUCUAUGCUAAUCAUAUCAACUAUACGAUUCAUGCUCGACCUUUCGGUCUCAUGUGUUCCAAGGCCAUGUCUGCACAUGCUAGGCUCGUCAAGCUUAACCCGAGUGUUCUGCGUGUGCAACUGUUUUGCACCCGUUGUAUGUGAACGUUGAGUCUAUCACACCCGAUCAUCACGUGGUGUCUCGAAACGAAGAACUGUCGCAACGGUGCACAGUCGGGGAGAACACAAUUUCGUCUUGAAAUUUUAGUGAGAGAUCACCUCACAAUGCUACCGUCGUUCUAAGCAAGAUAAGGUGUAUAAAGGAUUAACAUCACAUACAAUUCAUAAGUGACAUGAUAUGGCCAUCAUCACGUGCUUCUUGAUCUCCAUCACCAAAGCACCGGCACGAUCUUCUUGUCACUGGCGUCACACCAUGAUCUCCAUCAUCAUGAUCUCCAUCAAUGUGUCGCCAUUGGGGUUGUCGUGCUACUCAUGCUAUUACUACUAAAGCUACGUCCUAGCAAUAUAGUAAACGCAUCUGCAAGCACAAACGUUAGUUUAAAGACAACCGUAUGGCUCCUGCCGUUUGCCGUACCAUCGACGUGCAAGUCGAUAUUAUCUAUUACAACAUGAUCAUCUCAUACAUCCAAUAUAUCACAUCACAUCGUUGGCCAUAUCACAUCACAAGCAUACCCUGCAAAAACAAGUUAGACGUCCUCUAAUUUUGUUGUUGCAUGUUUUACGUGGUGACCAUGGGUAUCUAGUAGGAUCGCAUCUUACUUACGAACACCACAACGGAGAUAUAUGAAUUGCUAUUUAACCUUACACAAGGACCUUCUCGGUCAAAUCCGAUUCAACUAAAGUUGGAGAAACUGACACUUGCUAGUCAUCUUUGAGCAACGGGGUUACUCGUAGCGAUGAAACCAGUCUCUCGUAAGCGUACGAGUAAUGUCAGUCCAAGCCGCUUCAAUCCAACAAUACCGCGGAAUCAAGAAAAGACUAAGGAGGGCAGCAAAACGCACACCACCGCCCACAAAAACUUUUGUGUUCUACUCGAGAAGACAUCUACGCAUGAACCUAGCUCAUGAUGCCACUGUUGGGGAACGUCGCAUGGGAAACAAAAAUUUUCCUACGCGCACGAAGACCUAUCAUGGUGAUGUCCAUCUACGAGAAGGGAUAUUCGAUCUACGUACCCUUGUAGAUCGCACAGCAGAAGCGUUACUGAACGCGGUUGAUGUAGUGGAACGUCCUCAUGUCCCUCGAUCCGCCCCGCGAACCGUCCCGCGAUCACUCCCACGAUCUAGUGCCGAACGGACGGCACCUCCGCGUUCAGCACACGUACAGCUCGACGAUGAUCUCGGCCUUCUUGAUCCAGCAAGAGAGACGGAGAGGUAGAUGAGUUCUCCGGCAGCGUGACGGCGCUCCGGAGGUUGNNNNNNNNNNNNNNNNNNNNNNNNNNNNNNNNNNNNNNNNNNNNNNNNNNNNNNNNNNNNNNNNNNNNNNNNNNNNNNNNNNNNNNNNNNNNNNNNNNNNUAGUCACCCAGUUACGUUGCGACGUUUGAUACACACAAAGCAUUCCUUCAGUGUCAGUGAGUUAUAUGAUCUCAUGGUCAUAGGAACAAAUACUUGACACGCAGAAAACAGUAGCAACAAAAUGACACGAUCAACAUGCUACGUCUAUUAGUUUGGGUCCAGUCCAUCACAUGAUUCUCCUAAUGAUGUGAUCCCAUUAUCAAGUGACAACACUUGCCUAUGGUCAGGAAACCUUGACCAUCUUUGAUCAACGAGCUAGUCAACUAGAGGCUUACUAGGGACAGUGUUUUGUCUAUGUAUCCGCACAUGCACUAUGUUUCCAAUCAAUACAAUUAUAGCAUGGAUAAUAAACGAUUAUCAUGAACUAAGAAAUAUAAUAAUAACUAAUUUAUUAUUGCCUCUAGGGCAUAUUUCCAACAGGAUUGACCCAAAAGACAUGAGGCAUUUGAGAGAUAAUAGCAUUAGUUUCUCACUUUUGAAAUUUAAUCAUAUAAAUGAGGUAGGCACAAAUACUGGAAAUGCAAGAGAUAAAAGAAUCAGCUUCCCCAGUAAGAAAGAGGUUUCUCUAUCCAAUAUAAAAUAAUUUUAAUGAUCCUAUGNNNNNNNNNNNNNNNNNNNNNNNNNNNNNNNNNNNNNNNNNNNNNNNNNNNNNNNNNNNNNNNNNNNNNNAACCCGAGAUAUUUAAAAGGGAAAGAAGAAAUUUUACAACAAAAUAUUUGGGCAAAAGAAGUAGCCUCCCCUUCACAAAUGUUGAUAGUAAGCAGAUCACUCUUGUGGAAAUAAAUUCUCAUGCCAGACAAGGGUUCAAAGCAAGAUAGAAUCCAUUUUAAAUACCUAGCAUUAUCGAUAGAUUUCUCAAGAAAAAGGAUGGAGGAUCCCAAAAAUCUUUGGGAAGGUCCUACAAGCUUCCGAAAAGUUCUCCCUCCCCCCCCCCACACACACAGACACAUGUCUUGGGGUGCAAAGCGUUAUGGCCCCUUAAUGGGUCGCUGACCUAGGAGACCUCACGAGGCAAGGCGCCGAGGAGAUGGAGUCUUGGAAGAACUCAUUUCCUAGGUCGGUCGAACCAAGGGGGCCUUCCUCCCCAAGUUGGCCACCCACCUUGGAUUCCACCUAUAUAUAUGUGGGAGGGCACCCCCUAAAAUACAUCAAACCUGUGGAGGAUUGCCCUCUUACCCUGCGCCCAUAUUCUCUCCUCCUGUCUAGUUGAUGUAGGCAGGGAGGCCACUAGGAUGCUUCUCUCCCUUACUUUUGGCUAUGGGGAGUUUUGUAUCUCCUUUACUUUUAUUGUUGGGCGUGCGUGUGCUGUUGUCCAGCAAACCUUGUACUCCCUCCUUUUCGGUUUAUAGGGCUCAUUUCAAAAUUUUCAGAUUUCCGUUAUAUUAGGCUCAUUUUGAGUCUAAUUGAGUUAAAGUGCUUUGAGUCCCACACCAUAUUUAAUUCAUAGAGUUUAGAGAAAGGAGAUGAGUGGCUAUGCAUGCAUCGUUUUUUACAUCCACCAUGCAAGUCCAAUGAAAAGGAGGAUGCUACAUUUAUUGUCUUGAAAAUUGAAUAUGUGAGACAUAUUUCAUUGCCUAGUUAAAACUAGUGCAUCCACUCACAAUUCACCUUGAUUGAUGAGAUUUCAGAUUUGAGCCCUAUAAACCGGAAAGGAAGGAGUAUUUUCUUUCUCGAACAUGCACCUCCUGUUUUUUAUGUACGAACAUGGUGGAUGCUUAUUUAUACGGAGAUGAUAAUAGGUAAUAAAGAUAUUGUGUUUGGAGAGGUAGAUAGAUAGGUCUUGCUCGGACCCUAGCUUUAUUGCGAGCCAAAACUGCCUGAAAGAUGAUAAAUCCUGAACCCUAGCUUUAUUGCGAGCCAAACUGCCUGAAAGAUGAUAAAUCCUGAACCCUAGCUUAAUUGCGAGCCAAACUGCCUGAAAGAUGAUAAAUCCUGAACGUUCAAAAUUUGCCCCUGGCAUCAACUAAAGUUGCAAUAAAAAACGUUAGAUUCGUCAUGGACAAAACCCAAAUGUUCGGGACUUAUUGUGCUCCUAUUUAUAAAACGAAACGGAAACCCAUUUUAAGGGAGCCAUUUCAACAUAAGAGAAACACCUCACAAUCUCAGAUUACCAACCAACCAGAGACUUUUAACACUAUGUUGCACGGUUAUUUCUUCAUGAACAAAACUUUUGACGCACCAAGCAGACAGGGAAGCAAAUGGCCUCUCAAAAAGUCAGUAUCCCUAUGGUCUGCACUUUGGCACGCAUGGAAUCAUGACCCGGUGCAGCAUAUCUAACAACCACCAUAUGCAACUUUUACAGGUCAAAGCACACAAAACAGAACAUAAUCUUUAGAUCCCAGCACGGCGGAUCAACCGCACCUAUUUGGCGGUGAAAAGUCUAGGCUCCAGUCGGGAAUAAUCAGUUUUAUGUCUCCAGUCGGAAUACUCAGUUUUAGGUCAUGCAUAUUGCUACAUAAUAAGGUGGUCACUUCCACAGUUCCGCGGUACCAUACUGCCUCCAUUCAUAGGAGCGGUUGUUGUCUGCCAUUCCGAGACUAGGCUAUCAUAGAGCCGAAGCAGCGAUCAAUACAACAUAUCCAUGAUCGGAAUGAUGUGGUAGAUCGUCUAACUAUAUUAUUGACUAGAGUUCAUGGCGAGGAGAGGACUAGCUAGGGUUGGUGGACCGGACACAUCGCGAUACCCCGUGAUGCUGCUGUCCUGGAGUGCUGGUUUAGUUCCGGGCUCCGGUCUCCGUUUCAGUAGUCCAGUGAUGGUACGGAGGCCAUGCUGCCGGUGAGAUUCUGUAAGUCAUGGCCCCCAGAAUAACCGUCGCAGACAUCGCCCUGCGCCAUCCUCGCUCCAGGUGCAGAAGACAGAAGGCCUUCGCCGCCGCGGACCAUCCGCUGCACCUCCUGCGGCGAGAGUAUCUUGAUGCACCCUACGCUAUUCACAAACUCCCUGGGAAAGAACGGCGUUCAAAGAUGUUAUGCACCAAGAGGAGAUUGAAUUUAUUGUAUGUGCAUACAACCGGAGAUGGUUUUUCUGGGUCACUUACUGCCAUGGGUCGUCGCCAACGAGAAGAAUAUCAUUUUCUCGGUCGACGAAUACAAGCUGCCAGCCUGAUCUUACGGGGUCCUCCAGUUGGCCUUCCAGGCCAAAUAGAUGCUCCAGCUCACUACGUAACUCAUAGUAGCUGCUGAAUUUGGUGAUGUCGAGCGAUCUUCCAGGGGACCCUGAUUUGCAAACCUAAUAAAACCAACAUCAAAAGAAUUCAGCCUUCAGUUCAUGCAGAAGAACUAUGCAUAAUAAGAUGGAUUAGCAGGUAACUGUGUGUUGGCACUCGUCAAAAUGGUGCCAUUGGUGACACAAUAAUUGUGCUCAAGAUAAUGUAAGACUUCACACAAAACUUUAAGAAGUACAGUAACUGAUACGAACUCUUUGCCUCUUAAGCCCACUUAAUAUGAACUCUUUACCUCUUGAGUCAUCAGAUCCACAUUACCUCUCAAGUCAUCAGAUCCACAUUACCUCUUAAUUCAUCAGAUCCACUUUGAAGAAUAUGCAUUGAAGAAUUAAAGAACAUAAUACAUAAGUAGAAAACACAUACCUUCACAAAGAUACCAUCUUGUGAUGGGUCUACACCACACAUAUUAUCAAGAGAGUUGAAGGUUCCCGAUUCGCCUAAACAACUCGAAGUUGCUAAGGUGUCUGCGGGUGGCAAAUCUUCGCCACUAUACCUCAACAAAGGUAUGGCCAUAGAAACAGUUCCACUGCUGCUGCCACCCCUUGCACCUGCCAUUCCGUCCUGGAAUGCAAAUGAUGAUGAAAGAAAGUGGUUGUCAACAUUUGCAACAUAAGCCUGGACACUGGAUGAGUCUCUUGCUGACUGUGGCGCCAAGGUGCCAGCAAAGUGGGAUAUAUUACUCUGGUGAUUUACAUUCUCAUGUUUGGGUUGCACAGACCGAGAUUCAAUAUGACCAAGGGGUUCCACAGCCAACCUCUUUGAAGGCCAUCCCUCCGGCGCCAUUAAUUGGUCAGUUCGAGGCAAACUGACAAGGUUUGAAGCAUCUUGGCUAGAGAAGUUACGGAAACCAUUGUGCAGAUGCAUCGAUGGAUCAUUGUUUCCUUCUAAGAGGUUCUGCUGGUAGAAUGGAGGUUGUGACUGCGAAGCAGACUCAGAACCAGACAUGCUAGAAUCUACAUCUGAAAUACGAUGACAACCAGAUGAAAGCUGUUGUUGCAUCUCCUGGUGAGAUUGUUGUAUAACCUGAUGCCCUUGCUGCGAUGGUGCCGGAGGAUUAUGCAAAUGCAGCUGCUGAAACUGACUUUGAAGAAACCCAGGAUUACCACUGUACUGACUAUGGCCGUGCUGAACAGUUUGCAGAGACGACUGCUGAGCCUGAUACUGCAUCUGCUGUAGAACAUGAUUGGCAUACACAGAAUUCAACCCACCGUUCGGAUUCUGAGUCUGUUGGAAUUGCAAGAGAGCUGAGGACUGUUUCGAAGGAUCCCCAGUUCUAAUCUCUUCCAGUGCUGCUGCAGCCAUUUGCUGGUAUGUGUCUGGCUUAAGACCCAACAAUGGAGAAUCUAUUCUUGGCUGAAGCCAAGGUGACGCUCCAACUCCCUGGAAGUUCAACGACUGAGCCCCUCUAUCCCCAUCACCGAGCCACAUGAGAGAAGAAUAACGAGCAAAAUCAUCAUUCUUGACACCUGAGCAUAUAAUACAGAACAGAACUUGAUUAAAAGAACGCUUGGUUGAAUUAUACAAGCAGAACCACGUAUACUGCUAUUCUUGUCAUUGAUCAGCCUACCAUUGAACAUGCCAUGCAUAGAAGGCAGCCCUGAAGCCCAUGGACGCUUCAGUCUUAAAGGAAAAGCAGUUGGAUACAUCGGAAAGGUUGUCAAUGGCUCAAUCUCCCAGAGUGACACUCUAGGUUGUUUCUCACCAGCGGUGGACUCGUCCCAACCAACCUAAAACAAAUAAAAUUUCAGCCAUUACCAUUUAAGGUUGAACAUGUUCUCACAAAGGAAACUGUGAAGCAUGCAGCAACAGAGUUAAUAGGUUGAGGUGAAUAAUGAAACAAGAUAAGAGCAGGUACUCUGGAAUCAUGACAUAAUUACCUUGACAGAACGCCAGUGUGAAUUUGGCCAACGUGCAGAGUCAAGAUCACUUAUGGUUGUAAUUGUACCCAUGUAUCUGAAAGAAGAACAAACUGUCAGCUCACAGUUUUCAUGCUGUUACUCGGUUCAAUUUUUGACUUACCGUCUGACACUUGACUCCUCUGUCUCAAAAAGCAUUCUAAACCGCAUUCCAACAGACACACGUGUGUGAUAAACAGAUUUGACAUACUUAGCCAGUGGAAUGAUGAACUCAGAAGGGCUAGCCCUGAUAAAAGGCAAACAUGUUAAUUAGGUAUAGAAAUAUAGUUAUCUAUUAGUUGAAUUGGGAUCAUGAUGAAUAUACCGGGGGUUAUAGAAAAUAGUGAAACGACUGUUUGUGGCCGCAGCAUGAGCUGCUGCUGCAAGAAGGCCUAUAUGCAUGCUGUCGCUUGACAGCACAGAAGACGGCAUAACUGUCUGAGGACGAUUUGCAUGACGAAUCCCCAAGAGAAGUUGGUUAUUAUCAUUCCUGGAAACAUGGAAAAGUGUUAUGUGUGAUCAACGUGUAACACGAACAACUAGGGUAACAGUGUAUGGUUAGGAAAUAUAGUUGUCGGUACCAGAUGAAAAUAACAGAAUCCCCUGCUACUAGUCGCUUUGCACUUACAAAGACACUCCAACCUGUAGUCAGGAGAUGCCUUUUUGGCUGACCUGCAUAACAAGUGCAAGGGCUAAGAGCACUGGUCAACUAAGAGUCCAAUAUAUCCCAGAACAAAAUUAAAUACAUCAAGAACUCUGCAACAUGGGAACUAUUUUAGAUGGAGUAUUAUCAUUACAAUGUUUCCCAGAGAAAUUCCCCAGGCAAGCAAAACCCUACUAAGUCCAGCUGGCAGAAGGAAAUGACAAUUCUACGGACUAACAAGAAGGUCCUAGAACCUUCUCAUCUAAAAGUUGCACAAUAUACUUUUUGCUAGUCUUUCUAGGAUUCUUAUAAACUACUAUCACCUCCGUUCCUAAACAUAAGUCUUUUUAGAGAUUUUAUAAUGGACUACAUACGGAGCAAAAUGAGUGAAUCUACACUUUAAAAUAUGUUUAUAUACAUCCGUAUGUAGUCCAUAAUAGAAUCUCUAAAAAGACUUAUAUUUAGGAACGGAGGGAGUAGCUUUUACUUGAUCAAUAAUAAUCAUUAUCAUCUAUGCACAUGCUGCACAUAAUUUGAGAUUACUAGUACAUACCACGAAAUAUGUGGCGAAAUUUCCAUUCAUUGUCAUGCAGAUCUUUUGCAAUGAGCUCCUGGCAUGGAGGCUGCAGAGAGAAAUCCUGUAGAAAAUUGAACAUGUCAUUUAUCUAAUUAACCCAAUUUAAAAUGAACAAAAUAUGACCAUUUCUUAUAAAUGCAAUUGAGAAAAACAAACUAAAUUUCACUGGACGUUACCAAUGGAGGGAAGACUUUCUCAGCAGAACGUCGAGGAACAGAAAAUCCGCCAUGUGUACUUGUAUCACUUGCAGUCAAAGUCUUGCAGAAGUAAUUAGUCGGCUGCUUGCUAGCAGCACCCAACUCGAUUGGAAGAAAAGGCUCCUUUUGCUCUUCCUGUUAUCAGAAUUAUAAUAAUUAUUUCGAUAUUUUAACCUACAUAACCUGUUAUCAGAAUCCAGGCUACAAGAAGAGAGAAAUGUGAUUAAUACCGGGCUCAACGGCUGCAGUGUCAUUUGGGCAUAAACUUCAUCAGUCUCUGCAUCAGCCUGCAUUAGCAUCAAGAAAUGAUCUCACGGCACCUCUUAGAAAACUACAUGAUGGUCCCUUCUAUGUGUGAAGUGUAAACUUACAUGCAUCGUGACAUUAUGAAGCUGGCAGAUCAACUGAGGGGGGAGAUUUGGAUAAUUAGGGAUUUGAGCAUCAACCUCCUUAUUAGUUGAUGCGGCAACCUACGCAAAAGUAAAAUCACUUUAGAGAACUGCACUAAAAAUGGCUUUAGAAAACUGUAAUUGGACAACAUCCAUGCAACAAAAUCGAUUCUUCACAUAAUGACACCUUUAAUUUUUCACUAAAGCUAUGUCUCAGUAGAAUCGCAAACCGUAUGAUGUUUACAUGCUGCAUUGUGAAAAGAAUAAGAACCCCCUGAGCACUAAGGGAACAGGCACAAACUAUACUUUAUCUUUAUCUUUAUCUUUUUGAAAAACAUAAUGUAUAUUGGUGGUACAAACCGAUAAAACCUACGGACCUGCUCACUGUGACCCUGUGGAAAAUAGAUGACCCGGCUUCCAACCGCGGGCAGAGACACAAGGGGCCCAGCGCAUGCAUGCCAUAGCUCCGAGUUGAGACACCUUUGCUCCCCUGAAAAGUGCCAAGCACACAUGAGCGAACAGAAACCACCAGAAAGCAAAGCUCAUGUGAAGCUGCUAUUCGUACUUGGGCACAGACAAGAAGUCACAACGGGGAGGAGGCACAGUGAGUAACAAUAAUGCCAUAUAACAUGAGAAGGAUAAAUAAAUAAAUAAAGGCAACCAAUGCAAGCAUUUGUUCGGUGCAGGCCAGCAAUGGAGCUACAUGUACGCGAUCAAUCAUGCACAAGCACAGGCGGGCUGAAUUUGCACGAUUUGUUCAGCGUCUUCAUUUCAAGCGCACGAUCAGAGCAUUCCACAGCCCAUAAAUAAUCCACUGGAGAUGCGGACAGGAGCACGAGCUGGGAAUUGAACGGCUGAAUUAAUGCAGACGAGAUGUACCGUCAUUUUCAGGCAGGGGCUGCGGCAUCUCGGACAUGGAGAGCUUUCUCUCCAUGGAGGGACGCGACCGACGCCGACAACACCGAACUCCGAAGCAGCUGCUCAGAACUGCGCCGCGCUCCCGGCAGCAACGCCCGACUUGUCCCACUGCGGCCAGAGCAGGUCCUCCAUCCUCCACCGCCGCUUCGCCCAACCUGACGCCACGAAGCAGCGGCCGCCUCGGGUUGAGGCGGGGCCCUAACCGAAGCCGGAGCCACCCAGGCAAACCCUCGCCAUUGCCGACCCCAGCGCGCCCGAAUCCCAGACGCUCCAACGGACCUUCAGUCCGGACCCGCCCGCCGAUCCAAACCUUCUUCUUCUUCCCCGGCGAACAGCGCCGACCCAGGAAGACGGCCCCUCAAUGCUCCGGAGCGGAUUCCACCGAGCACGGAGAAACCGAGGAAGGCAGCCGGCCCGAGCCCAUCAGCUGAGGAAGCAGAAGUAGCGCGGCUCGCGGAGGCACAACUCGCCGCUCACCGAGAACCGCGACCACUCGCCCCCUCGAGUCGCCAUUGCUCGCCCGGGACCAGACCACGGCAGGCCAGACCAGACCAGACCAGACCGGACCGGACCCCACCACCCGGCGGCCGAAUCGGACGCCGCGGCCACGGGGCGGGAGCUGGGCUCGCGGCGGAGGGCGCGUCGGCGCGGGCGGAAACCCUAGCGGCGCGGGGAGGGGUGGGGCUAGGCG
Molecule: long non-coding RNA, 88065 nt
Filed under: Hordeum vulgare
Lineage: Eukaryota; Viridiplantae; Streptophyta; Magnoliopsida; Poales; Poaceae
Description: long non-coding RNA (HVUL_LNC011477)
Source: RNAcentral